GACAAGUGAAAGUGAUGAGAGUUUUCAAGAAUUAAAAGUUCGAUUAACUUUAGCACCUAUUUUAAGUAUUCUUGAGGGGAGUGGGGGAUUUGUGAUUUAUAGUGAUGCUUCAUAUAAAGGCUUGGACUGUGUAUUAAUGUAAUAUGGGAAGGUAGUGGCAUAUGCAUCCAUAUAGUUGAAAGAAUAUAAGAAAAAAUAUCUAAUUCAUGACUUGGAGCUGGCUGCAAUAAUAUUCGCUUUUAAAAUAUGGAAGCAUUAUCUAUAUGGUGAGCAAUUCGAAAUAUACACGGAUCAUAAGAGCUUGAAAUACCUCUUAUCUCAAAGGUUGGGUUUGUGUCCCGAAUGAUGAGAGUGUGAAGAAAGCUAUCUUGGAAGAAGCACAUCACUCUCGUUAUACGAUACAUCCUGAAAGUAUUAAAAUGUAUCAGGACCUGAAGAAAACCUUUUUGUGGAAUAAUGUAAAAAAAGAGGUAGCACUAUUUGUGUCUAAGUGCCUAACAUGCCAGCAAGUAAAAGCUGAGCAUCAAAGGCCAGCUGGGUUGUUGCAGCCUUUACCCAUGCCAAAGUGGAAGUGGGAGCACAUCUUUAUGGAUUUUGUCUCUAGCUUGCCUAGAACAAAUUCAGGACAUGAUAGCAUGUGGGUUAUUGUGGACCGGCUGACCAAAGCUGCCAAUUUUCUGUCGAUUCGCACGACGUACACUUUGGAUCGAUUGGUCUAGUUGUACAUUAAGGACAUAGUGCGGUUGCAUGGAGUUUCGGUCAGUAUUGUAUCGGACAGGGAUACUCGGUUUACUUCUAAAUUUUGGGCUAGGCUACAGUCAGCCAUGGGGACGAGACUCACCUUUAGCACUGCCUUUCACCCCCAAGCUGAUGGACAAUGGGAGAGGACCAUCCAAACCUUGGAAGAUAUGCUGAGGGCUUGUGUCAUUGACUUUACAGGAAGCUGAGAUGACCAUUUACCUCUGAUUGAGUUUGCUUAUAAUAAUAGCUUCCAAGCCAGUAUUCAGAUGGCACCCUAUGAAGCCCUGUAUGGAAGGAAAUACAGGUCACCCAUUUGUUGGGACGUGGGUGGUAAAAGAAAGCUUUUGGGGCAAUAAAUUGUCCAGGUAACCACAGAUAAGAUAUCAUUAAUUCGAGAAAGGCUCAAGACAGCUCAGAGUCAGCAAAAGAGUUAUGCCGAUAACCGAAGGAGAGAUUCUUGAAUUUGAGGAAGGUGAUCGAGUUUUCCUAAAGAUCUCACCAAUAAAAGGCAUUAUGAGAUAUAGUAAGAAAGGAAAGCUAAGCCCACGUUACAUCGGACCAUUUGAAAUCCUAGAAAGAAUCGGAGGUGUCACUUAUAGACUUGCCUUACCACCCGAAUUGGCAAACGUCCAUAUUGUCUUCUAUGUAUCAUCACAACGAAUAUAUCAGCCCGACCCAUCCCAUAUCUCCAAAUAUGAACCUUUACCUAUCAGAAAGGACCUAUCAUUCAUUGAGCAACCAAUUUUGAUACUGGAUAGAAGGGUACAAGUGUUGCGCAACAAGGAGAUUCCUUUNNNNNNNNNNNNNNNNNNNNNNNNNNNNNNNNNNNNNNNNNNNNNNNNNNNNNNNNNNNNNNNNNNNNNNNNNNNNNNNNNNNNNNNNNNNNNNNNNNNNNNNNNNNNNNNNNNNNNNNNNNNNNNNNNNNNNNNNNNNNNNNNNNNNNNNNNNNNNNNNNNNNNNNNNNNNNNNNNNNNNNNNNNNNNNNNNNNNNNNNNNNNNNNNNNNNNNNNNNNNNNNNNNNNNNNNNNNNNNNNNNNNNNNNNNNNNNNNNNNNNNNNNNNNNNNNNNNNNNNNNNNNNNNNNNNNNNNNNNNNNNNNNNNNNNNNNNNNNNNNNNNNNNNNNNNNNNNNNNNNNNNNNNNNNNNNNNNNNNNNNNNNNNNNNNNNNNNNNNNNNNNNNNNNNNNNNNNNNNNNNNNNNNNNNNNNNNNNNNNNNNNNNNNGGUUUAAGCUUUUGCUGCCUUGCCACGUCUUUUAGUGGACGUGGUUUUCAGGUGUUAAAGGCCGUCAAUUACGCGACACCUCAUACAUGAGAUGGAGGCGUUUUAAGGAAAUUAAAUGGACGAAAGGUAAGACGUCGCCUAACAACUCCUUUCUCUCUCUCCCUCUUACAACUUUUCAAAUAUUUUAGAUAAGUGACUUCAUUAUCUUGAAAAAUAAUCCGUUCUUUUUAAAAAUGAAAUGAAAUAAUUACUUUUGCUUAUUUUCAUGAAUUUUAGGCGUAUGCGCAAGAGACCUCAUUAUUUUGAAAAAUAAUAUUUUUAAUAAAAUUGUUAUAUUUUAUCUAUGUUAGAAAUUUUAAAUGCUGUAAAUUCUUAGAAAUAAAUUUAUUUUUCUUGUCUAUUGUUAGGAAAUUUUAGAUACUGUAAAAUUAUUAGAAAUAAAUGUGAUAUUUCUACUUUUAGUAAAAUUGUGAUAUUUCUUUCUACUGUUUUUGAAUAUUUAGACAUUGUAAAUUUCAUGUGCAAAACUGCCUUAUUAUUUGAAAACUAAUAUUUUUGCAAUUAAUUAUAGCAUUGUCUGUCAAAUGCUUAUUUGCGAAUUGACAUCCCAUAAAUUGUAAUAAUUCCGUAUUCUUGAAUUUUUAUAAGAGUUUUUCUAUAUAUUAGAUUGGCAAUUAUGCUAGAAUGUCUUUACGAAUUGCUACCUUUCUAAAUUUGAGCCCAAAAUAUUUGACUGGUUCUUUUUGAAAUGUUAUUGAAAGUGACUGUUAUUAAUGGUUUCAGUGAAAUUCAUAUUAAUAAUUUCAGUGAUAUGUUGAGUACAUGAUAUUGCUGCUUUCGAAUGUUUAAAGAGAUUUAGAAAUACUUUAACUAUGUAAGUGGACUCAUCCGGUUCGCCGGUGAGGUAUAAGUGGACCUAUCCGGUACGCCAGUAGGGAUUAAGUGGACUCAUCCGGUGCGCCAGUGAGGUAUAAGUGGACCUGCAGGGAUUAAGCGGAUUUAUCUGGGAUGCCAAUAGGGAUUAAGUGGACCCAUCAGGAUGCUGAUGGGGUAUAUAGGUGACCUACUUGGGACGCCAGUAGGGUAAUUUGUGAAAUCUUUUCAAUUAUGCACUGCCGUAAAAAUGUUAUAUGCAUUUCAAUUAUUAGAAUUAUACUUAAUUAUGCAUUUUUUAAAGUGAAACUGUUAAUGCAUUUCUGUUAAUAGAUCUUUUUUGAAAAUAUUGAUAUCUUUCAACCAUGAUUAUUUUUAGGAUUAUGAUGAUCACUUAAAAUUUUAGGUAUAUGUUAUAAAAAAUAUGUGUAUCUUUGAAAAAUAUCAAAAAAAUAUUUUACAUGAAAUAAAUUGACCAAAAUACCCCCAAAAGAUUUGGGGGUUUGGUCUUUUUUUUUGUUAAUAAUUUUUUUUAUAUUUUUAUUAGGUGCACCUUGAUGUGAAGAACACACACGUAAAAUUUCAAGUGAUUUGGAUUUGUUGAAAAAAAAAAAAGAAAUUUCAAGCACUGUCGGACAUCCGUGAUUGNNNNNNNNNNNNNNNNNNNNNNNNNNNNNNNNNNNNNNNNNNNNNNNNNNNNNNNNNNNNNNNNNNNNNNNNNNNNNNNNNNNNNNNNNNNNNNNNNNNNNNNNNNNNNNNNNNNNNNNNNNNNNNNNNNNNNNNNNNNNNNNNNNNNNNNNNNNNNNNNNNNNNNNNNNNNNNNNNNNNNNAUAGUAUAUAUAUAUAUAUAUAUAUAUAUAUAUAUAUAUAUAUAGGAUAUUCAAUUUGGGUGAUGGACACGACCUCUUUUGUAUUUGAAUUUUAAUUUUUUUCACAAAUCCAAAUCAUAUUAAAUUUUAAGAGUCUAUUAUUCUCUUCAACACGUACCUAAUAAAAAUAUUUUAAAGAUAAAUUUUAAAAUAUAAAUUGAUAAAAAUAAUCCUAAAAUGGCUAACUCUUGGAUAUUGGACAAGGGCAUUGAAGCCAUUCAUAGUGAAAAUUUAUUUGUUUAUGGCAGAUUUUCUUAGCAUCUAUUAUUCAGAUAUCAUAUCAUAUUAAAAUCUGAUUUUAUAUUUAACAGGCGCCCACAAUCUCAAUGAUAUUAAAUCAUAUCAUAUCACCAAAUUUAACUAUGUGGGUAAUAUUGGUUAAUGAGGCUUUACAAUGGUUGGUUAAUUAGCCAUUAAGAUAGUUGGAUUUAUAAUACCUGAACAGAAAAUAUAUUAAUGUUAACAUAGCCAUUAAGAUAGUUAAUAUUAUAAACAGAUAGUUAAUAUUAUAAACAGCUACAAUUAUAUUAUAAACAUUAAUUUGGGUAUUAUCAUUUGGAUAAUGUAAGGAACAAUAUUGGGCAUAACAUUAAUUUGGGUACUCAUAAUAUGGAUAAUGUGAGGAAUAUUGGGUAAUCAUAAUGUCAUGAUAAUGAGAAGUAAUAAUAAUGGGUAAUUAAUGGGUAACUAUCUUAAUGUCUAACUAUGAUUGUAAUAUUAAUUUACUUGAAUAAAAUCAUAUUUGAAUUAAUAAUUAAAUUUAACUCUUCAACUUGGCUGUUAAAAUUUAAAUAGGCUUAUUUGACCUUAAUGCUCCUUUCAAUAUUUAUAUGACAUAGUUAAUGCGCCAUAUCAGGUAAGAAUAUCAUAUAAAUAUUCUUACCUGAUAUUGUAUCAUUAUAAUGUCAUAUCAUAUUAAAAUCUAAUAAUAGCAUCUAUUAUUCAUAUAUCAAAUAUCAUGGAUGAACAAAACAAUAUCCAAGACCUUAUUAAAAUAGAGCUGAACAUCUUCACUGCCCUGAAUGAGGCUUCAUAAUGGUAAUUUGGACUUCAAUUGACCAUUCAUAUUGAUAAUGACUUUAUAAUGGUCACAUUUACAGUUAUUAUUAUUAUUAUUUGUUUUUCUUGAAUAAGAAGAACUAUCAUCAGAACUUAACAUCAAUAAGUUUUCAUCCUCAAUGGUACCAACAACCAUCUCUUUUUCAAAAUCUGAAAGAGAUUAUAGCUCAUUUGCAAUGAUAAUAUGAAGAAUUUGUUGCUUAACCUCAUCAUCUAUUUCUAAAGAAUUUAUUUUCUUUUUAAUGUGACAUUUAUUCUUGUAAUGUCCUAACAUCCCACAAUUAUAAUAAUAUGGAAUUGUCUUUUAUUUACUUCUUUAGAAAAUUUGGAUCUUUUUUUCUUAAAGAAUUGAUAUCAAAGAAAGUAACUCACUACCAUAUUGUCUAAAUUAGACAUAAAAGAGAAAGAUCCCCAAAGUUCUAAUCAAGCCUUGACUCUUCAUGAUAGAACUGUUGAUUAUUCAAAGGAAGAGUAGCUAUGAUUGAAAAUUGAUUUAAUCCAAAUAAGGAAUUAAAUAGAAUUUCUUACGGAACUAAAACAGUCCCAACUGCCCUCACAAAAAUGUAUUAUCCUAGACCCUCACCAGUAAAUCUUCAGUAUGAAGAAGAAGCUAUUGGAGAUGCUGAAUACUGUGGCAGAACUAUUGUCAAGUGUAAUAUUGAUGGAAUGUCUGAACAUCAAAUUAUAAACUUAAUGAAGCCGAUGAUUAUGUAUGCCACAACCUCUAACAAUAACGGCAAUAAGGACCAGAUAUUGCCAGAGCCAUUGUUUGUGAUUAGACAUAAAAGAGAAAGAUCCCCAAAGUUCUAGUCAAGCCUUGACUCUUCAAGAUAGAACUGUUGAUUAUUCAGAGGAAGAGUACCUAUAAUUGAAAGAUGAUUUAAUCCAAAUGUGAAAUUAAAUAGAAUUUCCUAUGGAACUAAAACAAUCCCAACUGCCUUUACAAAAAUGUAUUAUCCUAGACCCUCACCAAUAGAUCUUUAGUAUGAAGAAGAGGCUAUUGGAGGUGCUGAAUACUGUGGCAGAACUAUUGUCAAGUGUAAUAUUGAUGGAAUGUCUGAACAUCAAAUUAUAAACUUAAUGAAACAGAUGACUAUGUAUGCCACAACAUCUAACAAUAAUGACAAUAGGGACUAGAUAUUUACUGGCCAACUUGAAAGGAUGAUGGGAUUUUGUCCUAGAUGAAAACACUAGGAGCCAAUUACUCAAUGCUAAAAAGCAAUUGAUAGUCUAUAAUUAGGUUAUCCCAGAAAUUAAACAAGAAAACCAGGUAGAUGAGGAUGAUGAUGUAAAUACUUUACUUUAUACAAUUACUCUAGAUUUUGUAGGCUAUAUUACUUUACAGCUAGAAAAAUCAAAAGACUUAUUAUCAAAUCUAAGGUGUCCUACUCUUUCGCAUUAUAAAUAGUAUAAAGAUGUUUUCUGGUCUAGAUUGUUAACUAGAAAAGAUGCUAAGGUAGAUUAUUGGAAGGAAAUGUUUGUUGAAAGACGUCCCAAUUUAUUAUCCAAAAUGGUAAAAUCUAGACUGAGAAAUAAGCAUGACGGGGUAAUAUCUUGGGAACAAUAUACACUUGGCCAAAUUUCAUCAUAAAUUUAUGCAGAAGGGCCUCUAUGCACUAAUAUUAGGCUAAAAAGACAGGUAGAAAAAGAUAAAAUAACUGGUAAAAAAAAAACUAGAUAAUUUCCGUGAACAAUUUGGAUAUGAGAUCCUAGUCAUUGGUUAUAAUUCUAAUAAGAAGCAUAAGGAUAAAUCAUAUAAAAAGAAAAAUCUUUUAAAAAUAAAACUUAAAACUUUUUAGAAGGAAAGAUCCAAAUUUCCUAAAGAAAGUGUUUCACCCCGCCACAUAUAUAUCCAUCGCAAUUUAUUCAACGGAGCCACAAUGAACGGUGUGUGGUCCGUGGCAGCUUCCUUGUGUUUUUUAACCACAACGGACCUACUAUAUCAGUUGCGGUCUUUUAAUCCAUGCUGUCCGAAAAAAUCGGACAGUGCCGAGCCUAUGGGCGAAAACACUGUUCAUUUUCGCCCAUAGUUUUGUGUUGAGCCUAUGGGUGGAAAAGGUUGUUUUAAUGUUGAAAACCCUCUAAUGGAUCAUCUCGACAUCGAGAUAUAUGAAUAUGAAAAAAAAAACAAAAGAAAAAAAUUUGAGCCCCAAAAAUAGUGCAUCUUGCAGCAUAUAUUACCUAGACCAUUCAUUUUCAAGAUUUUCAUAUAUUUAUAUAUCAACUUGAUUUUAACCAUUUUUUAGUUUAAAAUUUUAUAAUAAGAUAUGAAAAUAGAUUUUUCAGAUAAACCUAAGGAUUUUUUACUCCAAAAUUUUAUGUUAUAAUAAAAUUUGGAGGUACACGGGGUCGUUUGGGUACCUGAAAAUCUACUACGUGAUACUAGAUUACAAGGAAAUAUGAUAUUUCCAUUGUUUGGGUACAAAGAAAUAUGACAUUUCUACUGUUUAAGUACAUCUUAAUAGUAAGGAAAUAGAAAGAGAUUACCCUAGAUUACCCAAGAUUUCUCAAAAAAUCACUAAAUCUAUUAGGCGCAUUGAGGAGUGAAAAAUCUAUUAUCAACUUGAUGGGUAAUGUUUGGAAAUCUUUGGCAUGCGUCGCCCUAUUCCCACUUAAACAAAUAUUUCAAAAUCUAUUACCGACUUGAGAGGUAAUCUUUGGAAAUCUUUCACGUGCGUCUCUCUGCCUAAUCCCGCUUAAAAAAAUAUUUCCCUCUGUCAAGUCUAUAGUGUAUUGUCCACUCAAAAAAAUAUUUCCCUCUCUCAAGUCUGCGCUGUAUUGUAUAAUUAUUAAAGUAAGUAGAAAGUGAAAGUAGGGAUAUGAAAAUGGGAAUCUAAAUUAAUUUGAACAGUUGUACGAACUUAUUGAGGAACAAUUUUCUAUUGCAAUCAUAAUAAAACAAUUUUUACAUCCCUCUAUCCCUAAUUUGGAUGGUAGCUAAUAAUUAGUAAGCGGGGAAAUCUAAAUUGAUUCGAACAGGUGUAGAACUUGAUAAGGGACAAUUUUUUAGUGAAAUCAUAAUAAAAAAAUUUCUACAUCCCUCUAUCCCCAAUUUGGGUUGUAGUUCUCAUUUGAAACCUUUAGCUCUCAUAUAAAACAAAAAUAAUAAAAAUAAUAAUUGGUAAUCGAUGAGAAAUUACACAACACAAUCAUAAUAAAAAAUUUCACUCAACAUAAGCCUAAUAAGAGAUUAGUAAAAGCUCAAUUGAAAUAAAAUAAUAAUUGAUAAUCGAUGAAAAAUUACACAACAGAAUCAUAAUAAAAAAUUUUACACAACAUAAUCCUCAUAAGAGAUUAGUAAAAGUACAAUUGAAAUAAGAUACAUAUUUGGUCUCCUCCAAUGCUUCAAAUUUUAUACUGCAAUUACCAAACCUUCUAGUUUACUAAUCAAACUUCUUCCCAUUUUUUAACUUAUACCAUUAAGAUUUUGAUUUGGUAUCAUAAAUUUAUUGCUUAUUUGAAAUUAUAUAUAGAAAGACAUUUGAAAGACUUCUAUAAUAAAUAAAUAAAAAUAAAGCUUAUCACAAAAUUCCAAUCAUAUUAUUCCAAUGACUUAUCAUGUUGAAACCAAAAUCUAAUCAUUUUAACUAAACAUAGCUAUAUUUUCAUAUCUGAUUGGUAAUGCAUUUCCCAUAUUUCUUCGAGACAUAGCCAACCAGUAGUAAUGUAUUUCCCAAGUUGCAUCUAAAUACUACCCAAAUAUUGACAAUCCAUUUGCAGAUAAUGUAUUAUGCAGUAAUGUAUUACGUCAGUAAUGUAUGUCACAGACAAUACAUUUCUAGGUAUCCAAACGGCCCCUAAUUAAAAUGUUUAAGUUCACAACCUUAUAGAAACCACACCCUUUAAAAUAAUAUGAUUUUGUUAGUAUUUCUAAAUUAUUAUUUUGUAGAAAGAAAGAACUUGUGGAUCGAGUCGAAAAGACAAUUGUUUCUGGCCGUUGGAUUUCACGAGGUGGUUGAGAUCAGUGUUCGAAAAACCGGUUGAUUUAGCUGCUAACUGACCGGUUAGAUUGGAACCGGCCAGCGACCGGUUUUGGUGGUCACCCGCUAUUUUAAACGUUAAAUAGAAUAUUACUACAAGUUUUAUCAAAUAUAUUAUGAUGGUUUAUUGAAUAGAUUUAACAAAUGUUUUUUAUAUGAAUUAGGGUUCCAUUUAUAUGAAUUAGGGUUCCAUUCCCGCCGCCAACUUUCUUUAUGAAUCAGGGUAUUAGGGUUCCAUUCCCGCCGCCAACAUUCUUUUCUUUAUGAAUCAGGGUUCCGGUUCCAUUCCUGCCGUCAGCAUUCUUCCGAAUCUUUACUUUUAAGAAUUGUUAUUUACUUUUAAGAAUAGUCAUUUCAUUGGUUAAGGGAAAAGUUUAUAUAAGGUUGCAACCUUAAAAUGUAGAAUUACAAUUGCACAUCAAAAAUCUAUUGUAAAGGCUAUUUUAAUGUUGAAACCUCUAUUUAAUCAUCUCGACAUCGAGAUGUAUGAAUAUAUAAAAAAAAUAUUUUUGAGUCUAAAAAAUAGUGCAUCUUGCAACACAUUAUCUAGUCCGUCCAUUUUCAAGAUUUUUAUAUGUUUAUAGAUCUCCUUGAUUUUAACUAUUUUUGGAGCUUAAAAUUUUCUAAUUAGAUAUGAAAAUAGAUUUUAAGANNNNNNNNNNNNNNNNNNNNNNNNNNNNNNNNNNNNNNNNNNNNNNNNNNNNNNNNNNNNNNNNNNNNNNNNNNNNNNNNNNNNNNNNNNNNNNNNNNNNNNNNNNNNNNNNNNNNNNNNNNNNNNNNNNNNNNNNNNNNNNNNNNNNNNNNNNNNNNNNNNNNNNNNNNNNNNNNNNNNNNNNNNNNNNNNNNNNNNNNNNNNNNNNNNNNNNNNNNNNNNNNNNNNNNNNNNNNNNNNNNNNNNNNNNNNNNNNNNNNNNNNNNNNNNNNNNNNNNNNNNNNNNNNNNNNNNNNNNNNNNNNNNNNNNNNNNNNNNNNNNNNNNNNNNNNNNNNNNNNNNNNNNNNNNNNNNNNNNNNNNNNNNNNNNNNNNNNNNNNNNNNNNNNNNNNNNNNNNNNNNNNNNNNNNNNNNNNNNNNNNNNNNNNNNNNNNNNNNNNNNNNNNNNNNNNNNNNNNNNNNNNNNNNNNNNNNNNNNNNNNNNNNNNNNNNNNNNNNNNNNNNNNNNNNNNNNNNNNNNNNNNNNNNNNNNNNNNNNNNNNNNNNNNNNNNNNCAAAAACCAUAUGCCAUUUACUACUUAGUUGGUAAAAAUAAGGGUUUAUAACAUUUUUUUUUUUAUUUUCUUUUAAGAGAAAAAGAUCAUUUUUUUUAAAAGAUCAUUUUCGUUAAAGAAAAGGAUUAUUUUUUUUUGAAAAAAAGAGUUGGUCAACUCGAUUUUCUUAAUACUAUUUUAAUAUUCUUUACAUUAUGGUAAAGCUUAAAAAAUAUUUUGGUCAUUGAUAAUCAAGCCCCUUCUAGAAAACCGAAGUCUUUUCUUGUCCCAACAAAAGAAGAUUAUAGUUUCUAGGAUAUUUUGAAAAGGGUACAAAAUAAAACAUAUACAAAAAAGAACCUUCAAUAUUUGAGCUAGAAUAUGAAAUAAAUGAAGUCAGGAAUGAGUUGAUAGCUUUAAAAGCAAGGGUUCAAAUCUUAAAGUUAACUCAGAACCCUAUCAGCGAAGCAAUUGAAGAAGAAGAAGAAAAAAGAUAAGGUGAAUUUGAUAAUCUAAUCACUGAAUAUAAUAUUCCUUUACCACCUGAAGUUGAAGACACCUUCCUAAGCUUGAAACCUCAAAAGCUAGUAUGAAUAUAAUAGAAAAGGUCCAAAAUUGUAAAUAUGUAUUAAAAAUACCUAUAAGAUGAAAUCGACUCGUUAAAAUCCAUUUUUUCAUUAAUUUUCAACUUCAUUUGAGUGUGGUUUGUUUUAAUUACAUCCUUUAUAUGCUUUUCAUAUUUUAGUAGAUUUUUUGUAUCUUUUUACUUUUUUAACAUUUUUUUAAUGGUUCCAGAAUUGUCCGGUUAGAGCGGUUGAAUCAACCGAUUUACCAGUUAGGCAGGUUAAAUCGCUUUCAAGCCGUUGUCCGGUAUACCGUUUUGGUUCGAUUUUACAAACACUGGUUGAGAGAGUUGACAGGUGUUAAAAUACGUGACUAUUAGGUGUUUGGCAGUUAGUGAUGUUUAGCUAGUUAUAACUGCCCUAACGAAUCAUAUCUCUCAACUCAAAAGUAAAAAUUCAAGAGAAAAGAGUGUUCUAAAGUUGAAAAAGGUGUAUGCAUAUAAAGAAAAGAAAAUUCAAAUAUUAAAAAUAGUAUAAAAUUGUAACAACUUAUCUUGACUAUCUAUUUUCAAGUGUUUAUAAAUAUGCUUCAUUUGUAUUUUUUUUGAAAAUUUAAAUUUCAUAACUAGAGUUGAAUAUAUAUUUUCAACUCAUCGGAAGAUCUUUGACAUGAAAACUACAUCUUCCAAUAAAAUAUAGAUGAGCUCCUUACUUGAAUAGUAAAAGGUCAUCAUCUUAUACAAACAUCACCCCUGAUCUUACCCAAAUUCUGGAAAUAACUAUUUUCUCUCUCUCUCAAUAAAAUUUUCAGCAAUAACUAUUUUCUUUCACUAGAAAUAAUGCAAUUGCGGUGCAAUAAAAGCUUAAUAUUUUUAGUGCAAUAGUUAUCACAUAGAUAUUUUGUUGUUAGGUAUUAUGAGGACUAAUUUACCCGGCACAACCCUAUGCACCCCAAUUUACCCGAAACAACAACUUAGUAUAGCUAGAAAUAGGAGGAUCUAUCCUUCCAUGUAAUUUUCAAAUCCUCCACAACAUGAAAAUUUCAGCCCUCAAUUCAGUCACACUUUUAUUUUCAACAAUUCAACACAAUAUUCGUUGGUGAAACAAUGGAAAUAACAAGUUUUUUAAAAAAGAUAAGCCAAACUUGAUUUAUUUGUUGGGAUGAAUUUUAAAAGGUGGGAACCAAACUUUUUUAGUGACCAAGCGUAAUGUCAGAUUUGUCAUCACCAAUCAAAAACCAAUUUACCAUCACCGAGUGCAAGAGUACAGAGACCCCAAGCUAUCCAAAUUUGCACAAAGUGGUUCGAGUGCAAUGAUAUUUGCAAGGGUCACAUCCUCAAUGCACACAAUAAUCUGAUAUGAUACAUAAUCAUUGAAUAACUGACGAUUUUUCAUUUUAAAUUAUUUAGAAUUUAAGCUCACUUAAAAUAAGUUCAUCUUCAGCCAAUCGUGUUAUAAUCUCAACUCAAAAGCCAUGUUCUCACUAUAUUAAUAAGAUUCGUUUUUCUCACUUUAAAUAACGUUUUUUACCUAAAUUUCUAGCAACAACUACUUUUUUCUCUCUAAAAUAAAUCUCUAGCAAUAUCUACUUUUUCUCUCUCAAAAUAAAGAGGGUAUUAAAGGCCCACUAUUUUAGUGUAUUUAGUAGACAAGAUGUCAUAGAGUUCUUCUGUUUUUAGGUAUGGAAAGGACUGGUUUGCCUGAUACAAACUUAUGCACACUCAUUUUAAUCAUGGGGUGUGAUUUGUAUAAGGUUGAGGCCCUAAACAAUUAACUAAGGCGUACAUUCAAAUAGUAUCAAAAGAUGUCACUUCAAUACCCAAAAUCUUUAUGAUAACCUAAAAUUUAUUUUUAUUUCUAAUUAUAAGAUUUAAAGUUUAAAAAAUAGUGUAGAUCAAGCUGAGCACUUCAAAAUCUUGAAAAGUUGACGAUCUAUAUCAUACAUUACAAGGUGCACUAUUUUCAAGACGUGAAAUCUAUUUUUUCUGUGUCCAUGUAUUUCAAGGUCGAGAUGAUCGGAUUUGAGGGUUUUUCGACUUCAAAGCAACUUCUUCUAGUGAAGUCCAUUUUUGAAGGCGCAUCUUAUUUUGAUGGUUUGAGGACUUGAUCUGAUAUAAACUCUUUCCUUUUUUGAUGGUUUGAGGACUUGAUCUGAUAUAAACUCUUUCCUUUAAUCAGUAUAGAGCAAAUAUGGUCUAGAGACAAUACUUUAUGGGUCGUUUGGGACCCUAGGAUAUGCAAAUCCAGGUUUUGAUGGCUUAAGGUUGUUUAGAUGAGUUUUUGAGACCAUAUCCUAGAUAUCCAAAUCCUCAAAACCACUCAUGUUAAGCAUUUGCUCAUUCUAAAAAAAACUUGGAAUGUGCAAAUAGGGAAAGCUAGCUUUUUUUUAUUAGGGUCCGUGCCUCCUCCCUCUUUUUUUUACUCCCUUCUCAAAAUAAUGAUAUUAUUUUAUAGUUAUAAUAUUUUAUAUUAAAUGUUUACUAUUAUUAUAAUAAUAAUAAUAAUAAUAAUAAUAAUUACUAUUAUUAUAUUAUAUAAUUAUAAUAUUAUGUGUAUUAUUAUUAUUCCAAAUAUUUAUCAUAAAAUAUAUUAUAAUAUUAUAAUUAAAUAUAUUAUAAUAUUAUAAUUAAAUAUAUUAUAAUAUUAUAAUUAAAUAUAUUAUAAUAUAAUCAUAACAUUAAUACAUUUGUGUAUUAUUAUAAAUAUUUAUCAUUGAAAAUUUUAGUUAAAUAUAUUUAUUAUAAUAUAAUGUUGUUUCUUGUUAUAUUAAUAUAAUAUGAUUUAUUACUAUAUAAUUAUUAUAAUUAGUGNNNNNNNNNNNNNNNNNNNNUUAUUAUUAUGGUUGUUAUCAUGAUUGUUAUUUUUAUUGUUGUUAUUAUUAUUUUUUAUAAAAUAUUGUCAACAACAUUAAUAUUAAUAUUAUUAUAUCUAAACAGGGUAUUUGUUAUAUGCCAAAGGCACCCAAACGACAUCUAUCCUUGAAGCAUGUUUUACAAAAUACUGGAAUUUGCGUACCUAGGAUUUAAAUGCAUGACCAGCUUUUGCAAAUAUUAGGCCCCAAAUAGCCCAUUAGCAUGCUUGAAAAUAGGAAUAUCCAUCCUUAUUUGUGAUUUUAAAAUCCUCUACAAAAUUCCAGCCCCCAUUUCAUCCGCACCAUUAUUUUAAAAUUAGGAAGUUGGUUAUCAUCCCUGCUCUUUAAAGGUCGUCUGACUUGAUAGGACCCCCUUUUAGUCUUCAGAUAUGUAUAAACCCCUUAGAGGAAGUUUGCAAUUACCCUACAUGCUAUGUCCAUUCCUUGCAGGAAGCUAGUCACUCUACAUGAUGCAUCCAUCCCUUGAAAAGGAAUGAGUUACCCUACACAGUACUAUAAACACCUAUUUAAAGUCAACUACCCUAUAUCAUCUCUAGUGAUAGGGUUUUUUGUUAUUCUUACUGUGAACCCAUUUACCACGAUCAAUAAGAUAGUUUAGAAAUCAAUGCAAAAUUAUAUCUUUUGAAUUAAACUAAAAUAAGAAUAUAAUGAUAAACUCUCUAUCCCAAACAAUUCAACAAUGAGGAUUAAACACUAAGAAGAAGAUCACCACCGCAGAGAGCACCCUAAAAUUGCCAAAUAUAAUACAAGCAACAAAAAUAAAGAGAAGGCUAUAAAAGAGCAUAGUAAUUGUGUUGUAAUCCUCUUAUAUCUUUGUUGGUUUAUAAUUAUUUAUUUGCUGACAACUCCUUUUCACAUAGUUGUUCUUCUUUCACAUGAUUAACCUUUUUACAUCCUAUUAAAUGUUUGGUAGAAGGUUUUGGUGUGAUAGUGAGGCUGAAAACGUAAGAUUUUUACUAAGGUUUCAUUUUCAAUGAUAAACAAGAAAUGUAAAAAACAGUAGAGGGAGAGAAUUGGGUGCCUUUUAAAAAACAGUAGAGGGAGAGAGUUGGGUGCCUUUUGGUAAAAAUUGACUAGAGAAUAAGGAAAUUUUAAAUGUUUAUUGAGAGAAAAUUAUAGAGUGAGGAAGGCUGGGUGGGAAAUUGCGUUUUUUAUUUAAUGCUCUCAAGUAAGAGCCAUUUUAUAGUUUUUAUUUUUUUGUUUGUUUAAUGAAAAACUAGUGAUUAUCGACUCGUUGGAUAUAGUCAUCUCUAUGAUGAACCAUGUAAAUUCUAGUAUUUUUUCUACGUUAUUUCUUUCUUGCUUCUUUUUUUUUUCGUCGUAAUUGUUGGUUGCUUGUUGCUAGAUCUAUUUUCACACUAUUUAUUUGUCAAAAAAAUCAAGUCAUUGGGUUUUAAAGCUGCCACGCACAACAAUUGUAUCUCAGGAGUAUAUGCUCGCCUAAUUCCAAUCGUGUCUUGAUUUCCACCACUAGAGGGUAUUUACUACAUUGAGAAUGCAAAAAUUUCUCAUACAUUCGAGGUUACAUAAAGAGUCUACCCACUAAACAAAAGAAGACCUCAAAAUUCACUCUUUGAAUCUAUGUCCACAAUUCCUUCUCUCCAACCCAAAGUUUAAAAUAACGAAUCGAUCAAGAUCUAUAAUCCGGCGUAGUGAACCAACUGAUAAAAGAAAAAUCGAGAAUAAAAAAGUUUGGCUGAUUCUUGGUUCUGACUGAAUUGGAUAGCUUUGUAAGAUAAUCGGGUAAAACGAGCCAGGUCUUAGAGGAACCGGCUGUUGGGUUUAUGUGGCAUUUAAGGGCCUUAUGAGUGUGUAUUGAAAUCUUUUUAUUAUAGUGAAAUAUAAACUCAGUGGGAGUGUGGUCUCUCAAAGAUCAUACUAAGCGAAUGAUGUUUGCUUAUACUGGACUGUGCUUAUUGAUCUAGGCCAAUCGGUUGGAAAACCCAAGGUACCUGAGAAUAAAGAAUUAACCGAGGAGGGUUUUGGGUUAGCCCUUGAUGCGGUCGGAGCUUAUGCCUAAAUGAGUGAGCCAAGGGACUGUGUGACCCUUGUGUGUGAUGGUAGGCCUACUGAGACGGGGGUCAAAACCUCAUCCAUGUUCCAUCCCACGACUUGCAUAUCGAUAGAUUGUUCGGAAAAGCUAGACAUCCACCUUUGGGUGAAGCGUAUGCAUGUGCGAGAGAUACCCGUAUGCGUCAUAGAGCUGUAGUCACAUCAGAUCGUGGUGACCUUGACUUGUCUCUAGGGGAUGACUUGUAAUCCACAGACUGGGAUUGCGACCCUUUGAUUCAUCGGCCUGACUUUGGUGACCCGCUAAUGAGCCCCUGCUUGGACUCUGGGUCAUGGGAAACACUGGGUCAGUUCGAUAAAGCUAGUGUUGCCUGUAGUCCACAAUUGAAGGUGGAGUACUCCAUAAUUACAAAUUGAAUUCCUAAAACCAUAUGGAUCAUUUUCCCAUCAUAUUAAUUUAAUUGUCUUCAUUUUAUUAUUGAAAUGAUUUUAGUUUUAUUAUUUAAAUUUUUAUGAAUCUCUCAAUAUUUUAUUUAUGAAUUUUGGACUUAUAAAAAUACAAUUAUUGAUUUUAUAAANNNNNNNNNNNNNNNNNNNNNNNNNNNNNNNNNNNNNNNNNNNNNNNNNNNNNNNNNNNNNNNNNNNNNNNNNNNNNNNNNNNNNNNNNNNNNNNNNNNNNNNNNNNNNNNNNNNNNNNNNNNNNNNNNNNNNNNNNNNNNNNNNNNNNNNNNNNNNNNNNNNNNNNNNNNNNNNNNNNNNNNNNNNNNNNNNNNNNNNNNNNNNNNNNNNNNNNNNNNNNNNNNNNNNNNNNNNNNNNNNNNNNNNNNNNNNNNNNNNNNNNNNNNNNNNNNNNNNNNNNNNNNNNNNNNNNNNNNNNNNNNNNNNNNNNNNNNNNNNNNNNNNNNNNNNNNNNNNNNNNNNNNNNNNNNNNNNNNNNNNNNNNNNNNNNNNNNNNNNNNNNNNNNNNNNNNNNNNNNNNNNNNNNNNNNNNNNNNNNNNNNNNNNNNNNNNNNNNNNNNNNNNNNNNNNNNNNNNNNNNNNNNNNNNNNNNNNNNNNNNNNNNNNNNNNNNNNNNNNNNNNNNNNNNNNNNNNNNNNNNNNNNNNNNNNNNNNNNNNNNNNNNNNNNNNNNNNNNNNNNNNNNNNNNNNNNNNNNNNNNNNNNNNNNNNNNNNNNNNNNNNNNNNNNNNNNNNNNNNNNNNNNNNNNNNNNAAAAUUCCAUGUAGGGCACAAAGUGCACAUGGGCCCACCAUGUGGCAUGUGGGUGGGAGGCCCACCAUGUGGCAUGGGGGUGGGGGGCCCACAUGUGCCACAUAGGGGUGGCACGCCCCACCCUUUGGAUGCUUGUUAUUUGCUUUGUGUUGAAGUCUUUAAGUUAUGGUAACUUUGAUUUGUGGCAUGUGAUCAAAUCUUGGAAGGGAAAUAUUGACUAUGACUUAUUUUGUUUUAUAGCAAGUUUGCUUUAAGCGGAUAUGGACAAUUUGAAUAGAUAGUAAAAAAUUGACCUCAUCUUAUUUAUAUUUGGUAGUAUUUAUUUGCUUGAUAAUUUUUGACAUAUCCUUAUGGAAUAUGUGAGACGGAACAUGCAAUUUUAUGGAAUGCAUGAUAUUUAUUUUAUUUAAAUAUAUUGAUGGGAAAAUGGUUUAAAGAAAGGGGGAUAAUAGUCCAAGCAUUUUUCAAAAUGUUGAUGACCCAUUUAUGGAAUUGAUGACUCAAAUCUCUCACCCCACAAGUCACCUUGAUCAACGGUCUAGAUUCAAUCUCCUGAAAGAGGCAAACUAUGAGAAAACCCUAAGAAACCCUAAACCUAAAUAUUCACUAUAAAUAGGGGUGCUCUCCCCUAUGUCUACACACCCUCUCUCUCUCCCCUAAUCUCUCUCAUCUCUCUCUCUCUCCUAGAGGGGCACGCCCUACUCUCUCUCCUCUAUAUUUCUCUUUCUAACUUUCUCUCACCAAAACUCUAGAUAAUAUACUCUCUCCUCUAUAGACCUAAGGAGAAACUAAGGGUUGGAAAAAUUAGAGGGAGCCUAAGUUAAUUUUGGGGCUUAAGGUUUAUUAGAGAUUUUAAGGGUGGUUACCUAGUUUGGCCGAAAUCAGUUAUCUCGGUUCGAGAUUGAAGCUAGACCGCAGAUCCAGUGCCAUUGGAUGUAGUGACUCGGUGUGGGGUGUAAAAACCCGGUUGAGGUAAUCUCCGACAUCUUUUAUUUUAUUUGCUUGAUCUUAGAUUUUAUAUUCUCUAACAUAGUAUUGGGUUGUAUGAAUGGCAUCAAAUAAUUGAGGUUUAUUUUAUUGAUGUGCUAUUUAUUUUUAGAAUAUUUAUUCUUUGUAAUAAGACCUUCUGUGAGUGAUCUUAUUGCCAAAAACAUAUGGGGUGAUUAUUAAAAAAAAAAAAUUUGUAUUUCUCGACAAAAGAUCACAUAGGUCUUUCUUUCAUUGGUAUCAGAGCUAGUUUUACUUGAUUGUCAUUAAGAGUCUUUUCUUAUUUUUGCUUGAGAAUAGAAAUAUAUGGUUGAUCGUACCUUCAUUUCAAAGAUCCUACAAACCGAAAGGUUUGAUGAGACCAAUUUUGUUUCAUGGAAAAGAAAAAUCAAAUUUGUGCUCUAUGAGGAAAACUUGCAUGAGGUACUCUUUAAGGACCGACCUCGUCGUCCAAUUGACGACUCAUAUCAAGUCGUUAAAGAUGAGUACCCCAAUUGGAAGAAGAGGAAUUUGAGAUGCAAACACAUUCUUUUAUUUGUCAUGAUUGACUCAUAUGCUUCUGAAUAUGAGUUAAUCUAUACUGCAAGUGAGAUUUAUGAUAAACUUGAGAGAGAGUAUGUUGAACCCUCUCUUAUGAAGCAAACAAUGGCGAUGAGGAGGUAUAAUGAAAUAAAGAUGGCAGAAGGUACCAAGUUUGCAAAUCAUGUGCACGUGUUUCGUGCGCUAGUAAGAGAGCUAAAAGACACAGACAUGAAACCUAAUGAACCUAUGCAAGUGACUCAUCUUAUGAAUUCCCUUCCUAAUUCAUGGGAGACCUUCAUAUCUUCCAUCUCAGCCAGAAGAAAAGCACCAAAACUGGAGGAGCUCAUCACUACAAUCAAAGCAGAAGAGGAGAGGAAAAAUUCAAGGCAACUAGUGACAACAACUUCAAGGGAAGUUGUGCAUAUGAUAAAAUGUUCACCUUCUAUUAAAUUUAAGAAGGGAAAGGGAAGAAAUCAUUUUGGAAAGAAAAGAGAUUUCAAAAUGAGAUAUUUUGGAAAUAAGGGAGCAAAGAGAGAGACUAGAACUUGCUUUAUUUGUAAGAAAGUGGGUGAUAUAGUCAAUAGUUGUCGAUUUAACAAAUCUGGAGGGACCAAUAAAGAAUCAGCAUGUGUGGUUUUUUAGUCUAUGCUGACUGACCCCUAGGGAGCCUCUUGGUGUCUUGACUCAAGUGCUACGGCCCAUGUCAUAAACGCCAAGGAUGAUUUCCGUUCUUUCACUCCCAUGGGGCCAGGACAACAAUAUAUUUACAUGGGAGGAAAUCAAAAUAUUGAUGUUUUUGGGGUUGGAAAUUUUGAGCUAAAACUGAAGAGUCGGAGCACCUUGAUCCUAAAGCAAGCACUUUAUGCUCCUGAUAUGAGGAAGUGCUUAGUUUUGGUUCCUAAGAUGUUUAUGGCUGGAUUCAUAACCAGUUUUAUUGGGGAGAAAGUGGUGGUCAAAAAGGGGAAAGAUGUGAUCAUGACUGGACGACUUGUAGAUGGCUAUUUACUAUUGAAAUUAAAGAGAAUAUUGCUUAUAUCUCGUCCCCUAAUGAAUUGGAUGCUACUCUAUGACAUAUGAGGUUAGGACACAUUAAUAUCAAAUACAUGGAAAGAACUUAGGAGAAACUAAGGGUUGGAAAAUUAGAGGGAGCCUAAGUUAAUUUUGGGGAUUAAGGUUUAGUAGAGAUUUUUAGGGUAGUUACCUAGUUUGGCCAAAAUCAGCUAUCCCGAUUCAAGAUUGAAGCUAGACCACAGAUCCAGUGCCAUUGGAUGUGGUGACUCGGUGUAGGGUGUAAAAAGCCCUGUUGAGGUAAUCUUCGACAUUUUUUCUUUUAGUUGCUUGAUUUUUUAUUUUAUAUUCUCAAGCACAGUAUUAGGUUGUAUGAAUGGCAUCAAGUAGUUGAGGUUUAUUUUAUUGAUGUGCUAUUUAUUUUUGGAAUAUCUCUUGUUCGUAAUAAGACCAUCUGUAUGUGAUCUUAUUGCUAAAAAUAUAAAAGGUGAUUGUUAUUAUAAAAAAAAAAAAGGAAAAGAAAGAAAGAAAAAAAUUGUAUUUCAUGGCAAAAGAUCACAUAAGUCUUUCUUUCACCUACUUGUUCCCAAUGUUUUACAAGAAUUGAGUUGGCCCCACCCAAUUCUUGAUUUGGAUCGAGCCAGUUCUGAUCUGAAUCACCAUUUUUUCAAAUCCUGCACCAAAGUUUGGGAGGGAAGAUCUCAUCUAUUUGUGAAAGUAGGAGACGCCUUGUAUGAGAAGGUUCAAGGAUCUGGUGCACACGGCUCAUCAGUGUUUGAAAAGGCGCCUUCCAUUUAUGGAUGGCAUGGUUAACUGAUCCAAAUGUGCAGAACAAGUAGGGGUGGCAAUGGACCCGACCAAACUUGGGACCCGACGGGUAGACGUGACCUCGGGUUUGGAUAAAUUGGACUCGACGAGUCGGGAUGGGUCGGGCCUGGGUAAAAAACCUAGACCCAAACACUAUUCAGGUUCGGGUCUAGCUGGACCUGACCCUUACCCAUAAACCGUUGGAGAUUAAGUACUUUACUUUAAUCCCUAUUCAUUUAGUUGUACUAAGGAUUGAUUCUUGCCAAUUUUGACUGAAUUGGACAGUUUUGUAAGAUAAUCGGGUAAAAUGAGCCAAGUCUAUAAUCGGGUCAAACAAGCCAGGUCCUAGAGGAACCCGCUUGUUCCCAAUGUUUUACGAGAAGUGAGUUGGCCCCACCCAAUUCUUGAUUUGGAUCCAGCCAGUUCCGAUCUGAAUCACCAGUUUUUCAAACCUUGCACCAAAGUUUGGGAGGGAAGAUAUCAUCUAUUUGUGAAAGUGGGAGAGGCCUUGUAUGAGAAGGUUCAAGGAUUUGGAGCACACGGCUUGUGAGUAUUUGAAAAGGCGCCUUCCCUUGAUGGAUAGCAUGGUUAACUCAUCCAAAUGUGCAUAACAAGUAGGGUGGCAAUGGACCCGACCAAAAUUGGGACUCGACGGGUAGAUGUGACCUUGGGUCUAGAUAAAUUGGACUCGAUCGGUCAGGACGGGUCUAGCUCGGGUAAAAAACCUAGACCCAAGGACUAUUCAGGUUCGGGUCUAGCCGGACCUGACCCAUACCCAUAAACCGUUGGAGAAUAAGUACUUUACUUUAAUCCCUAUUCGUUUAGUUGUACAAAGGAUUGUAUACAAUAAGAACUUAUAGUAAUAUUUAGCUAUUAAAUGACAAAUCAAACGGCUUGAAAUCUAAUGGCGGUUGAUUGUGCUCUUGUUGCCAGUACUAUGGAUAUAUGAUAGUAAGAAAAAAGGCAAAAAAACAAAAUGAGAAGCUCAUAGUCGCCAGACUCGGGACUUGACGCGUAGAAUUGGAACUUGAUGGGUACGGGUAUGGGUCCAAUUUUUGGAUCCGACAGGUUGGGUUUGAGUUCAAAACCCGGACUUGAGUACUAUUCGGGUUCGGGUCCGGGUUCAGGUCCAGCCUGAACAUUUAAAAGAUUUUCUUUCGGAACACUCUUUUCUACUGAUUUUUUUUAGGCACCAUAAGGUCGCAACCUUAUAUAAACUUAUGGAAAAUUACAAAAAACCCCCAAGACCACACUUUCUAUGCAACUUACCCCCAACCUAACUUUUUCUCUCACUUUUUCCCCAAAACAAACUAUUCAUGCAAAUACACUCCCAAGGGAAAAAUUUCAUUUUUUUUAAACAGAAAUUCCAUUCCCGUACACAAAAAUCUUUGGCCAAAUUUGACAUUGAAUUUUGAACCCCAGUAGCACAUUGUCAGAGCUCAUCAUCGCAUUGCUGGACCCAUUAUUCCAGAAGCUUAAGUAUUGGAUCACCCUAAGACACCUACCAGAUCGAAACUGAGUACUACCAGACCACCCUUUACAUAGUACUAGAGCAUUGGAAUCCAGUAACAUCUACUACCAGACUGCCCUUUGCAACUGCCAGAUCGGUAUAACUCCAAAUUUUUACUAUCGGACCGUACUUACAAAGUGCUAGAGCCCUGUAACUGUAGAAGUAUCUACUGUUGAACUACCCUUUGCAACUGCCGGAUCCUUGUGACUCUAGAAGUUUUACUGUCAGACAGCAUUUACAUAGUGCCGGAGUCUUGUGACUCCAGAAGUAUCUACUGCCGGACCGCAAUUAUAUAGUGUCGAAGCCCUAUGACUCCAGAGUGCUCUACUGCCAGACCACACUGACAGUGCUGGAGCCCUGUAGCUCCAAAGUGUUCUACAUUCGGACCGUACUUACACAGUGCCAGAGCCCUGUGACUCUCGAGUGUUCUACUGCUAGACGACACUUACAUAGUGCUGGAGCCAUUUAAUUACAGUAACAUGUACUACUGGAGUGCAAGUGUGAUGUGCCAGACGACCUUGUUUAUUUGAUGGACCCCUUUUAUUUUCUAGAAACUCUUUCUGCUGUAUCGCCCUCAUGGACUGCGGGACCCUUUUCUCUCUCUCUGUCCCUCCACCUUUUUUUUUUCUUGUUGCUUUUCAGUGGUGUUACAAGUUAAGUAAUAAUAAGGAGAACUAGAGUUACGUGUUGGCUUUAGGUGGUGGUGACACUGUUUUUAAGUGGUGGAUGAAUUUGAUGUCUAAAUCCGUUUUGUAAUCACUAAUAAUUUGCAAUAGAGUUGCAGUUUAGGGAGAGACCAAAUAUCAUCAUCAUUGAGAGAAACAAAGAACAUACAUAACCAAAUAUUUUUGAACCAUUUCUUUUUUUAAAAAUACAUAUCAAACUAAAAAAUACUUAUCAAGUUAAACAUCAAAAUGCCUACCCACCAUAUCCUAUAUUUAACAUCUGUUUCAAACAUUCAUAUGAAAUAAAAAAAUACAUAUCAAAUUCAACAUCAAAAUAUAUAUCAACCAUAUCAUUUACUUAACAUAUGUUUCAAACAUACCAAUCAAAUCCAAAAUACAUAUGAAACGUCACAUCAAAAUCAAUAUCAAACAUAUUCUUUACUUAACAUUUGUUUCAAACAUACAUAUCAUACUUAAAAAAUAAAGGUAAAUUUCUCCGCCUCAACCCUUUUUUUGGCCAACAAAAAUGCCCUUUCUCCUCACAUCGGGUUCCUCCAUAGUCCUUCCCUCUUGUGCAUUCCCAUCUCUUUGCGAUCACAAAUUCCACCUCGAUUCCUCUUGUAACCCCGGUGCUUGAAACUGAUCAAUUUUUUUCUUUGUUCUCCUCUCUUUCCUCCUCGCUCUCACCAUCAUCGUGGCCUUCAACAUCCUCUUCUCCAUCAUCAUCAUCCUCUUCGCUUUCUCUAUCAUCGUCCUCCUCACUUUUACUUUCCACUUCUUUACCCCUAGUUCGUGUUGUCUCCUCAGCCCUUGUUUCUACUGGAGUGUUGUUCAAUAGCAGAUUAUGAGCUGCCUGUACAAAACGCUUGGGUUCAUUGACUAAUAUUUCACCAUUAAGUCAAGCAUGUAGCAUCUCUAUACAGGUAUGUUACUGCAAGUAGACAAUAAAAAGAUAGAAUAGACUAUUAAUUUUAUUUUUCAAAAGUUUAAUACAUAUUAAGACAAUAAAAUAGCAAAAUACAUAAAAUAAAUAGUAUACCCUAUUGUCAUCAUGGCUUGUGAAGGAUUGUACAUGUGAUUGAGAUUGCAAUGGGGGGAAUAUGGUUUUUUUUUUAAAAAAAAUCUCUGCAUAAACAUGUUGUACCAGACCAUAUACUCUUUUGUAUGCACUCCACCAAAAUUAUCCUGGGCUGCCUUAAUAACAUUACGUUCUCGUUGCUGCCAAUCUUUUACCUGCAUGCACAACUAUUCAGCUCAAUUUAUGAGUUGUCUAUCGACCUUUUCCCUCCUAUCUCACUUGGGAGGCGUAACAGGAAUCACUUGCACGUUCCCAAAUUGGGAGGUGUAACAGGAAUCCACUUGAUACAAUGACCCUAAUGGAAAGGGAUUGCUUUAUGAUCUUUCUCAGUUCAUCUUGAGCGUACAAGGUAAGUGUUGUAGUCCAGGUUUCAGUUUGCAAGCUACGGGUGACCAUUAGUUUCAUAAUUUGUCUCCUAAUCAAGUCAACGCACUGGAGAAUUAACAUGUCUCGUGCUUCUAGAAUCCACUUGUUAUAUGACUUAACCACAUUGGUUGUUACUUGGUUAUAUAAUUUAUCCCUGAAAGUGUGGCCCAACGGGUCAACGGUCUAGCGAUGCUUCCAUGAACCACUUGAAUACGUCCUUAGAAAUUGAUCUAAUUUCACUCAUCUUCUCAAAAUACUCUUGUGACCUGUAUGCUCUACAUGCUCCGAUAAAAUAUUUUACAACUGCCUUCUUAAUAUCAUUAGGUAUGUCUUCUACUUCAUUCUUGAAAUUUUCUGCUAAAUGACGCUCACAGAAGGCCUAAUGGCAUUCUCAAAAACAUGAUAGACAAUAUCAACUAUAUCAGGGUGUUUAUAAGACAAAAACAAUGAUUUCACGAUAUGUGCCAAUAACAAUACUUAGAGAUUUAAUGAACCAUAAUCGAUAUCCACAAUAGCGAAUGCAAUGAGAAACAUUUGUUCUUCCCCAUCAAGUGAGUUGGCAGCAAGUAGAGUUCCAAGGUAUCGUGCUUUCAAUGGUGUCCCAUCGAGAAAUAUAAGUGGACGAAAUCCCCUUUUGAAACCAUGUAUUAAGCCAUAAAAGCUUAAGAACAAUCGACAAAAUCUGCCAUCUUGUCAUACUUGUCUUGUCACGUAACUGCUAGGAUUCGUCUCCAUCACGCGUUUACAUAUGCGGGUAACUAAUUGUAUGCCUCCUCUUACAAACCAUGUAUGUCUUUGAUGGCUAUAUCUUUCUCUCGCCAAGUCUAGCAAUAGGGUAGCUCUAACCCAUAAUCUCGAGAGAAAUCAUUCAUGAUAUCUUUGGCCUUAUAAUGUGCAUUGUCACUUACUUUAUCAUUGAUUAAUGGUGCAACACAUCUUUUGGAGGCUUUUUUCUGUAUAUCAUUGUUUGUCUCAAUAUUACAUGAGUGUUCUCUUUUCCAUGUUUUGAUGCUAAAACAUUCGUUCUGCUAAACUUUGAAGCAUAUAUCUCUCAUUUGUAUCCAUCACCCUUGCAUGUCGCCCUUAUGCGAUACCCCUCAUUUUUAACAAUACGGUAUGUGAAAUGGUGUGUUAUAGCAAACUUGCUAAGGGCUUCUCGGAAGUCAUCUAGAGAUUCAAACUGUUGCCCUAUACUGGUUAGUGCAUCCUCCCAUGAUCUAAGCAACCUUGGUGAAUUGCUUUGUUAGAAACAAAAUACAAAAGCAUUAGAGGAUUGGGGGGUCUGACCUCUUCGAUUACCCUACUAUUACGUGUUGUACAUCCACCCCUAUGUUCACUCUAUUUAAAUACAUAGAUAAACACAUUAUUCUCGCCUUCAUGUGCGUUCAACAUCCUCUCAAUAUCAUCAUCAAUGAAGAGGUUCAGAAUAAACCUUUUAUUUCUCAGGAUAAAAUACCUCAAUGAUAUCAAGUGCACGUCAAGUGAGAAAUGGCCUGCUAUGUACUUUUGUAUGUCAUACCUAGUUCUACUGUCAAUCAUAAAUGUACAUGCAUCACCACCAAUAUAUUCUAAAGUCCCAACGACACUUGAUCAGAGCUCUCCACCAAAAAUAUAAUAAAUCAAUCUGCUAUCAUCUAUUUUUUUAUCCUACACAAGAUUUGUAAUAAUUUACACUCCACACAUUGCAUUACAACAUCUUAAUAUUGCCUUUAAACUUGCUCAAAUUUGGUAAGUUCAAGCUAGAUUUUUUAAAAAGAGCUACAAUUAAAUUUUAACAAAAGGUAGGCAUACUGCAAUCUUAACGAUUUUACCCUGUUAAUAUCUCAAUUUUUUAGUUAAUGAGUGAAAAUAUUCUUGAAAUAAAGAGCCUCAAAAGAUGUGACCCAACUUUUAAGAUGAACAUGCAAUUCAAUGUUUUUACANNNNNNNNNNNNNNNNNNNNNNNNNNNNNNNNNNNNNNNNNNNNNNNNNNNNNNNNNNNNNNNNNNNNNNNNNNNNNNNNNNNNNNNNNNNNNNNNNNNNNNNNNNNNNNNNNNNNNNNNNNNNNNNNNNNNNNNNNNNNNNNNNNNNNNNNNNNNNNNNNNNNNNNNNNNNNNNNNGUGACAAACUAAUUUUAACAAUAGAAAUAUAAUGGAUCAUCAAAUAGGAAACAAUUGAUGCAAAGAAAACCAACAGAAAACAAAUAUAGAUAAACAAACCCAAAAUUUACUACCACCAAGAGUAUUCAAGCCCUAAGAUCACAAUACAGAAAAAUAACAAACUCCAUAACAAAUAAAUAAGAAAAACAUUCAAUAAUUUUUAAGCCAUGAGCAAUCAAUUUAAGAUCAAACGACCGAAUGAUUUUCAAUCUUCCUAGAUAGUCACAGAAAGAACCAAUUGAUGCAAAGAAAACCAACAGAAAACAAAUACAACAAAACAAACCCAAAAUGUCCUACCACCAAGAACAUUCUAGCCCUAAAAUGACAAUAGAAAAAAUAAAAAGCCAAAUUCCAUAACAAAUUAAUAAGAAAUUCUUCUAUAAAUCUUAAGUCAUGAGCAAUCCAUUAGUUCAUUGUCAAACACAAUACAUUUCGACAAAUAAGAACCCAACAACAUAUUUGGGGCCGAGAGAUUAAUCUAAAAAUCAGCUAUAUAUUUUUUUGUAAGAAAUAAGUAAAUAACUCUUUCGUAUCUUUGAUGGGGCUGAUUUGGGGCCGAGAGAUCGAGCUAAAAAUCGAGCUUAGGCUUUGGGGACUUGGGUUGAGGUGAAGAAACUGAUAGUUGUUUCAUAAAGAGAGGGCCCUGGAUUCAAGGAGACAAUAGAGAGAGAGAGGAAGAGAGAGAGAGAGGGUGGGACUCGGGCCUUCAGUCCUUCGAAGAGGGAGAGGAAGAUAGCUCGGCCCGAGAAAGCGCGCGAAAGAGGGAGGGACCUCGGGCUUGGAGAGAAAACGAGAAAGAGGGAGACAAUGUGAGUGAGUUUUGUGGACCGUGGGUCCUCUUUGCAGUAAAAAAUUAGAUCUUUCAGGGAAAUGGGAGAGAGAGGCGUGGGUAAAGUAAGGGAGGGUAGUUGGGGGGGGUGGGUGGGUUAGGAUAUUUACUAAGAAACUAUGUUAUGUGAGAGAAAAGUGAGGUUGGGGGUAAGUUGCAUAGAAAGAGUGGCCCUGUUUUGUUUUUUUUUUGUUUUAGUUUCCUAAAAUCUUUCCUUUACACAUGCAACCACGGACAUGGUGUGACUCUAAUUGAAAGUUUCCAUAUUUCCACAAUGGAAAAGAUGUGAGUUUAGAAGACAACAUGAUGAAAAUAGGAGAUCAGAUUAUAUGAAAACUGAAAGAACGACCUAUGUGAUCUUUUAUUGGGGAUUUUUUUUAUUUUUUAUUUUUUUAUAUCACCCCUUUUCUUUUGGUAAAAGAUCACUUACAGUUGGUCUUAUUACAACAACAUAUACUUCAAAAUAAAAUCAACAUGGUAAUAAAACCAAUAGCUUAAAACUUGAUGCCAUUGAAAUAACUAUGCACUAUGCUUGAGAAUAAAAAAUAAGAUUGCAAAAAAUAAAAGAAAAGAGUGUCGGAGAUUACCUUAAUUGGGCUUAUUACACCUCACACCGAGUCACCACCAUUCGAUGACGUGGGAUCGACGAUCUUGCUUCAAUCUCAAACCGGAAAAGCAAGUUUAGGCCAAUCCACACCAAUAAAGCAUGAACUCUUUUGAUCACCAACUCAAACCCUAGGUGAAUUCCUUUAGCAACUUAGUUUGAGAGAGAUGGAUUUUUUUUUAUAAACCCUAAAACCCUUAGCCAUAAAUCUAUAGUUGAGAGAUAAGAGAGUGAAAAAUUCUAUAACCUAAACCCUUAGGUUCUUUCACAAUGAGGGAGAGAGAGAAAUUUUUUUUAAGAGAGAGAGAGAGAGAAAUUCUAAGUGGGAUAUAAGAGAGAAAUAUGGAAUUAGGUACAAGAGAUAAGGUGUAGAGAUUUUGGAUAGAGACAAUCCCUUUUUUAUAAGCUUUGAACAAGAUUCAGAUUUCUUAGGGUUUUCCUUGGCUUGCCUCUUCUUGUGAGAUUGAACAUUGACUGUCGAUUAAGUGUGACUUGUGGGGUGAGAGAACUGAGCCAUCCAUUUCAUAGAUGGGCCAUCAAGAUUAUGGAAGGUGCAUGAACCCUUAUCCCCCUCUCUUAAAUCAUUUUCCCAUCAAUAGAAAAAUAAGUUAAAUUAAUUUUAAUUAAAUAUUGUGCAUUCUAUAAAUUAGCACAUCUCUAUACAUAUUUUCCAUAAAAUCUAUCAAAGAUAUACCAAGUCAAUAUCUACUUUCAUAUUAAGUCAAUAUAUGGUCAAUACAUAAUCGAUCCAUAAUUUGACCACAUGUCACAAUUUAAAGUUACUAAAACAUAAGUUCACAUGGACCACCAAACUUUCCAUAAAAUAGAAAGUAGUAUGAGGUGCGGCAUGCCACCCAUGGGAGGCACAUGUGGGCCCCACCUUCUAGAAACAUGGUGGGUUCAUGUGCACAAUGGGCCACCAUGAUUAUUUUUUUAUACAUUUAAAAUUAACAAAAUAAUUUCUAGUGAAUAUUAAAACAUUGUAAAAUCAAUCUCUUUAAUUUCAUAAAUCCAAAAAUUAUAAAUAAAAUAUCCAAAGGUCCAUAAAAAUUUAAAUAAUAAUUCUAAACUAAUCAUUAUCAUAAAACAAACACAUUUAAAUUAAUUUGAUGGGAAAUAGAUCCAUAUGGUUUAGGAAUUGAAUCAACAAUUAUGGGGCACUCUACCUUCAACUGUAGACUACAGACCACACUUGCUUUAUCAGACCGACCUAAUGUUUUUCAUGACCCACAGUCUAAGCAAAUGCUCAUUAGUGAGUCAUCAAAGUCUGGCCGAUGAGCCAAGGAGUCGCAAUCCCAGUCUGUGGAUUAUAGAUCCUUCCCUAAAGAUGAGUCCAGGUCACCACGACCUGGUGCGAUCACAACUCUAUGGCGCAUAGAGGGAUCUCUCGCACAUACAUACGCUUAACCCUAAAAGGUGGAUUUCUAGCUUUCUCAAACGAUUUAUUGAUAUGCAUGCCAUGUAAUAGUAUAUGAAUGAGGUUUUGGCCCCCGUCUCUAUAGGCCACUAUCACACACAAUGGUCACACAGUCCCUCGACUCACUUAUCUGGGCAUGUUCUCCGACCUCAUCAAGGGCUAACCCAUGAACCCUCCUCAGUUUGUUCUUCAUGUCUAGGUAACAUGCUUUUUUCCCAAUCGACUGACCUAGAUUGUCAAAUACAAUCCGGUGUCUGCAAACAUCAUUUACAUAAUAUGGUCCACGAGAGACCACACUUCCACUGAGUUUAUGUUCUAAUAUGUCAUUUCAUUUUACAAGUACUCGCAAGGCCUUUAAAGGCCACAUAAACCCAACAUGGUCCUUAGGUUCAGGUCUAUCCAUCGAAGUGGUGAUGACAAGGGAGACAAACAUAGGAGCUUCCUCUAUCUAUCCAUCGGCGUGCAUUAUCUCAACUUGAUGGUGAUAACAAUAUGGACUAUUGUUUCUUUGUAGCCCAUAAUAUUACAGUAUCGAGACGGAAAACAUAAGGAUUUUUCAUCGUUGUUGGCCGUUGGAUCAAUGUUAGAGCCAAUCAACACCCUCCAACAAGGGGAAUCAUGUUAGAUGGCUGCUCAUUGGACAUGAGUAUUCCCAUGUUCAUUGAUCCAAUGGUCCACAAUGUUGCAGUGGAAGGGAGGUUUAAUGUAAGCUUCCUCUUAUUAAAUGGAUCGGGUUUUGGUGUGUCAGCCAACAAACCUAUUCAAAAACGUUGUCCUUCAAAUAUCCAGGUAAAGGGUGAAUUCUAAACUCGAAAUUUUACAGGUCGAUAAUUUAGAUGACCAUGAUCAUGAUAUGGAAAAAAUUGAAUUUUGAACAUUAAAAAAUGACUAUCUAAGAUAUCGUUCUUGGAUGGUUGGUCAGCAUUCAUUUCUAUUAUUCACAAAUCAUUAUGUGCAAUAUUUUUUGGAGCUGCAAACUCGUAAAUCUGAAGCGAAUAUAUGUCUAGAAAGUUAUACGUGUUUUAGAUCCUAAAUCCAUUUCUAAAAUACAUUCUAUAAAAGGAAGUGUAUUUAAUUAUCUCAUUAAACAAAGGGAAAAAGACAUCCCACAUUCAUAUACAAUUUUGACAAGAGCAAAUAAAUGUAAUAUUUUGGAAAAGAGCUUGAGCUUAGUUGGUUAUCACUUGACGAUUUGCAACGCUACGUCCUAGACUCAAUUCUUACCAAGGGUGGGGGUCCUCUCCCCAUUGCCUCAUCCAAACAAAAAAAAUAGAUGUAAUAUUUGUAUGGGAUUGUACAAGACAAUUAUUUUUGUUAUAAGCAUGUCACAGUCAUUGCUAACUAUUAAAUGUCAAAUUGGAGAGCUUGAGGUGUAACAUAAAGUUUGAGAAUUUUUUUUUGAGCCUUGAGUUUUGUCAAUGACACACUUACAAUCACCCACUUAAAAAUCCGAUGGACAAGAGCGAUUGUGACGUCCUUGUAUAAAAAACAAAUGGUCUCUAUAUACUUUUGCUAUUUGUAAUGCUACAAUUUGUUUUUUUAGUGUAGUGUUUUGGAGUAGAUUACUGUUAUUGUAGAAUCCUCUCUUUUUUUCCUUUUUAUAUUUAUUUUUCUUUUUGCAGUAAUCUAUUGAUAGUAAGUUGUACAAGAAGUGAUAUAUACACAAUUGAAGUAAGAGAAACACAAUGCUAAAGGUAGUAGAAAACUAUAUUAAUGGACUGGGAUGCGUAGCAAAUAUAGAAACGCUUUCCUUUAACCCCAAAUGAUAUUCUGCUCCUUAGGGAGUAUACAUUUUCAUUUACUGCCUCGGGUAAAACCGCACCUAGGAUUAGUUUUAGGACCCAUAUUUUGGAAUAUAACCUUGUACAGAUUAUCCUCAAUACCUUUUUUUUCUAAUUGCACCCUCUAAGCACUUCAAAAAAAUAUGAUGCCUCAAGAUUGAAUAGAAACUAACCAAUUUUAUAAGAUGAGAUCUAAGUGGCAGAAAAAUCAAAUUUCAAAUUUUUAUUUUUUGAGAAUGAUCAUCUAGUGAUUCUAAGGUUGUUACUAAAAUUUCAAAUUCAAAAAAAUCCUCCCAAGUAGAUCAUCUGGACGAGGUGGUAGAAGUAAACUAUGCUCUCGAUAGAGCGUAGUAUACAUGCUCUUCUUUUAAUUUUGAAGCCCAAAUAUAGGAAAUUACUAUAUUUUGGUUAUCUAACUUUCAAAAAGUCACAAUAUCUGAUUAUCAUACUCCUCCAUAGCAUGAUAUAAGAUGCUUCUGUAGGAGCAUACUGUAAGACAACGCCCCUCAGUAAAAGUAUAAAUUGGGUGGAUUUAUUUGAUCCAAAAUUUUGGCUCCAAGUAUCAUGAGAUGAUUAUUUUAGUUGAAAAAAAUUGGAUUUUAAGUUCUUUAAUACCUAAAUCUUGCCCUCCAAAAAUUGGACGGCUCGUGUUUAAUCUUGCAAUGUUAAUUUUUUGAGGCACAUAGAUCUACAAUGUUUUUUCUUUUUCCCUUUAAAUUGGUUGCUAGUUCUAGAGACUCUAUACCCAAAAAGUUUAGGGGUCCAAAAACUAUUCUUGAGUUUUUCCAUAGGGAGCAAAUAGAAAGUAGGUCCAAAAACAUGUCAUAGUUGGUAGUCAUGAUGCUAUUCAAUUUGCCGAUGGGUACAGGCAGGUUAGUGCCAAUUUUAAGGUCAAGGUCCUUAUUGGAGACGGCACUUACAAUAUGCUCCUUUGGGAGUAUAGUUUAUUUCUACUCCUUCCAUUGGAAUACCGAUUUGGGAGAAGUUUUUCAAUAUUAAAUUUUGAGAACCACUUAAGAAUCACUUAUUAGAUUAUCUUCAUAAACAAAAAUUUAAAAAUUUGAAUUUUCUAACAUUUAGAUCUCACUAUCUAAAAAUUAGAUGGCCUCAAUUCAAUUGCUAGACAUUCUUUUUUCAAGCGCAUAGAGGGGUAAAAUUUGAAAAACAAAAAAGGUUAACCUAAGGCUUAAGAGAUUAUAUCUCCAAAAUUUGCCGUCCUGAAAUUAAAUCUAAAAGUCCUAGAGCUGCUUAAGAGGCGUAUACCCGAGGGAGUAAACAUAUAUUCUACUCCCGCAGGAAGAAGAUAUCUUUAGGCUAGUAGAGUCAAAAGCACUCAUGUCUAGAAUCCAUUAAAUGGAUAUUUGAUAAGUCUGCAUCUGAUGGAGGCCCACAAAGAGGACUUGGACUUGGACUUGGUCCAUAGUCGAGACUUGAGACAAUAGAAGGCUGGCAGGGAAAGAGUUUUGGAAUACAAGGAGAGAGAGAGAGAGAUUAACCUUUUGGUCCAUAACAACCCAUAGAGAGAGAGAGGUUAACUUUUGGUCCUUAACAACCCACUAUGAAAUUCAUUAAGCACACCAGUCAUAAAACAAUGUCAAAACUCAACUACAGCAUGAAUUUCACAUCACAAUGCCCAAAAUGCCUUUCUUUUAUCGUUCACCAAUCCCUCACCAAAUAUACGAGUACCUAAUCCCAUCCUCAUACCAUGUUUAUAGACCAAAAACAUUACUUUUUAAAAGUAACAUUUUUCUAUGUUUACAAUUAAUCCAUUGAGAACUUGGCGGCUUCAACCAUAACAGUAAGGGAGUCUUCAAGUCGUUGUUCCACUCAAGUAAGCGCCGCCAGUCCCAAGUCAAUUUUCACUAUAAUCAUGACCUACCCCAAUCAACAAGGCUCUUUCGAGCAGUGUACAGAAAAUAGACUCGUAAUUCGAAACCCCAAAAAAAGUGAGAAAAAGCUUUAAAAGGGGGCAAUCUCUAAAAAAAACUUAAAAAAAAAAGAAAAGUCGAAAGGAUUGACAGAAUCAUUAGGAGAUAAAAUUAGAUGAAGAAAGGGGAUGCAAAAGUGGAUUUCUACCUUGAAUACCUCAAGAAAAUUUAGAAAAAAAAGAGAAAAAUAGGAAAAUACCCAAAUGAUAUUAAAAACUAACAAAAAAACAGACAGACAUGGACAAAUUCCGGAUUCCACAUAUGCUGCCAUGAUGACUUUGACAAAGGUUAAUGCUCUCACAAACUCAGUAACAAAGACGGGAAAAAUGCAUGCCUAACCCGGCAAAGUAACCGUGUGGUAAAACUUAGUGCUCUACACGUUACUUCUCCUUGCAUCUAUAAAUUCAGGCUCCUUCCUGUACACAGAGAAGCUAAAGUGAGUAACCAUUUCGCAGGCCAUGGAAAUGGAAAUGGAAAUGGUGAUGAGAUUUCCAAUUUUCAUCCUCUUCUUCCAAACAAUUGUUUUGGUUCCUCUAAUCCAAUCAUCUGAUGGUUUAUCAGGAGUAGAACUAGAAACCCAAGCACUCUUGAAUUGGAGAACCAGUCUGAAAAAUCAGACCUUGGAUUCAUGGGUUUUCACGACCAACAAUAAGACCAGCCAUUGUGGCUGGUUUGGCAUUCAGUGCAGCAAUGGGGGAAGUGUAAUUGAGAUAAGCCUCUCGAAUUCAAAUCUCGAAGGUACUCUUGGCCGAUUAAACUUCUCCUUGUUACCCCAUUUAGUCCACCUCGAUCUCAGCUGGAACUCUCUUGAAGGAACGAUUCCGCCAGAUAUUGGUAGUCUUUUGAACCUCACUUUCUUGGAUUUGUCUCAUAAUGAAUUAUCUGGUUCAAUCCCGAAUACGUUCUUUUCUGGUCUCAGAAAACUGCAAAUCCUAAACCUCACCAGAAAUCAUAUUGGAGGCCAAAUCCCAACCAGUCUAGUGAACCUUACUAAGCUUCAUGAUCUUCGGCUCGGUUACAACUCCUUCACCGGUCCCAUUCCUGAACAGCUCGGUUUUGUUUUCUCUCUCCAAAUACUCGAACUCUAUGAAAACCCACUUUUAGUAGGGCCCAUCCCUGGUUCUCUAGGCCAGCUCCAAAAGCUUCAGAGGCUGGAUAUUAGUAGUUGCAAUUUGAGUUCAAACAUCCCACCACAAAUAGGAGACAUGAAAGAGUUGAUCGAAAUCUCUCUUUCUAUGAACCUUCUAUAUGGCCCCAUUCCUCCUUCCAUCGGUAACCUAACCAAGCUCACCACCUUGGAUCUCUCCUAUAACCAGCUCUCAGGAGCUCUUCCUUCGGAGAUUGGAAACUUGGGAUUGUUAACAUCUCUUGAUGUGUCGAAUAACACCCUCGGAGGCUCAUUGCCGAGAACAUUAUCCCACCUCUGGAAGCUGGAAAUGUUCUUUAUCGAAAGCAAUGUGUUCUCUGGCACCAUUCCAGUAGAUAUUUUUGAGCACGUUCAAUUGUUGGGGGCCGACUUGUCUUUUAAUAGCUUCUCAGGUACACUACCUUUGGGAAUAUGUAGAGGGAAUAAGCUCAUAAAUUUCUCGGCCAGCCACAACAAUUUCUCGGGGCCCCUGCCAGAAGAUUUGAAGAACUGCACGAGUGUGGCCUGGUUCGUAGUCGAGAAGAACCAUCUCGAGGGGAAAGUUUUCGAGGCUUUCGGUAGCCAUCCUGAUCUAAUGAUUGUUGACUUGUCUGGGAAUCAAUUUUCUGGUUACAUUCCAGAAAACAUUGAUGAAACAAUGCCGAGUCUAACUUUCCUACAGCUAGGAAAUAACCACAUGGUGGGAACAAUUCCCUCCACUAUUCACAAGAUGAGAGAUUUGGUUGUUCUCGACCUUUCUGGGAACAACUUCACUGGUACCAUCCCGACCUCACUACCCAAUAUGGGAUACUUUAUGAUUUCUAAUAACAACAUCAUGGGAACCAUUCCCAACUCUGUGGGGAAUAUGACCAAUCUGGUUGUCUUCGAUGUUUCGGGAAACAGGUUAAGUGGUGUUAUUCCUUCUGGCUUGGGGAAAUGUCAGUCGCUUGAAGUAUUGGACUUGAGCAACAAUAAUAUGCUCGGAAGCAUUCCAUGGUCGCUUGGGCAUUUAGGGAUCCUUCGGAAACUGCAAUUGAGCAACAAUAGCCUAUCAGGAGAGAUCCCUUCAUCCUUGAGAAACUGUUCUGGUUUAGAGAUUAUUGAUCUUGGUGAAAAUGGAUUCUCAGGUGUUAUUCCUACUUGGAUUGGUGGAACCUUCUCAUUACUACGCAUUCUCCGUUUACGAUCAAACAAGUUUACAGGUACAAUCCCUCAAGAGCUGUCACUCUUGCGUUCUCUUCAAGUCUUGGACCUCGCAGUAAAUAAUUUAUCAGGUGAGAUCCCUCGGACAUUUGACAACUUCACAUCAAUGGCAAUCAGGCUACGAGACGUCCAUAGCAGUUCCAAUGGGGAGAAUAAUGAGGCAAUGAUUCUCAAGAAGUAUUAUGAGGAAACGGUUGUCAUUGCCACAAAGGGGCAAGCCCUUCCAUAUAGCAGGACUCUUUCCCUGGUUACAUGCAUGGACAUUUCGAGUAAUAAUAUUGUCGGGAUUAUCUCGGAAGAGUUAACCCGCUUGGUAGGCUUGCUUGUGCUAAACCUGUCCAGAAAUCACCUAACUGGGAAUAUUCCCAAAAAGAUCAGUGCACUGAAGGAGCUGGAGUCGCUAGACCUUUCGAACAAUCUACUUUCGGGUGGCAUCCCACAAGGAAUCUCGUCCCUGACAUUCUUAAGCUAUUUAAACUUCUCAAAUAACAACUUAUCCGGACCCAUUCCCUCCAGCAAUCAAAUGGAAACUUUUCAUGAAUCGACAUAUUCUGGGAACCGAUACCUUUGUGGCUUUCCGCUUCUUAAAAAGUGUGGAGUACCUACCCAGGUGUUGACUCCCAUCCAUAAUGAAGAUGAUGAUGAUGAUGUAUUUGGGAUUGAUGUGAGUGCAGGUAUGGGUUUCGGCGUAGGAUUUGGUGGUUUUUUCUUUGUUCUAGCUGUCAUAAGGCCCUGGAGCCAUGCAUAUUUCAAGUUCAUGGAUCGUAUUGUGAAGAAACUGCUACGGGCAUCGUAGUGUUGUACUUCUACUGCUCACACACACACAUACUCAUGUGGUGAUCAGAUCACAUGGCCUUGCACUUGCUUUGAUACUUCGAUUAGCAAUGCAGAAACUUCUUUUGAGUCUCAAUUGAAUUGCUUCAACGCCAAGAUACAAAUCCCCAUAAUUAUUUCUGAAAUGUUUGGGUAACCUUGUGUGUUUAAGAUAAUGGUUGGCAUUUGAACUGAAUUAUCAGUUGCAAUCAUCAUGCCGGGCUUGCAGGCUUAUAGAACAAGGAACUCUCCAUAACAAACCAGAGGCUAUUAACACUUCUUUCAUGCCACGAUUCUUCUUGCAGUCUGUAAAAGAUAUUUGUUUUGAAGCAUUAGUCUAUAUAUGAAUUAUAAAUUGCAAAAGAUUUUACAUUGAAGUUUAUCGACGCUUCUUAAUCUAUGCCUUAUUGUGUUUGAGAAGCUAAAUAAUACAUAAUAAUAUAGUGUUGUAUUCAACAUAAAGGAACCUAAGGUCUUCUUUAAUAAACCAUAUAUAUGAAAAUAGACGUCUUCAUUAUCAUCUGAGCCUUAUCCCAACUAUUUGGCAUUGGCUAAAAUGGGUCACACAAAUAUAUACCCCUAUUAAAGAUUUCAAAAAGCCAUUUGCCCAUUUAGCCAAUCCCUUGAUAAUUUAUGAUACUUAGAUGAUUGGUUAAAUAAACCUUUACAUGUGGAGCCACUCACAUACAAAAAGCAUGUGACUCCUUUCUCCAACGAUCCGUAUUCAGUAGGCUAGUAUUAGUGAGAAUGGAAACCACAACGUGGAUGACUAAGGUAUGGAGGUGCUACCACCAAUUGAAUAGCUUUUGUCGCGAUGUCAACCAAUUUAUUUGUAAACUUUCCUUUACGAGUUAGGUUUACAUUAAAAUUGGGGCAUGCCUUCACCUUAUUGGGGUGUACUUGGGAAAAAUAAAAGAAUUGUAUUUAUUUUUAUUAAAAUGGCCAAGACUCUUCUGCAAGUUCUACGGGCAAUCUGGUUAUUUUUCCAUCAAGAAUAUCUUUUUUUAUUUUUAUCAGGUGCAUCCUAGGUGAGGUGUGCAUAACCCAAAUUUCACUGCAAAAUAAAUUAUUGAGAAAAAAAUAAAAAUAAAAUUAUUUGAGGCAUCAAAUCAAGAUUAAAUGCUUAGAAACUAACUUUGAACAAUAGGGCUAUAGUUCUCCCAAUAGGGUCACAUAUACUUUAUAUAUAAGUAGAGCCACAUGCAAAGGUUCCCCCCUUUUAAGGGUAACACAAAUGGGAAAUGACAUCAUGUCACCAUUCCAUUAUCCUACAAUGAACCAAACUUAUAGAAAAUCAUGUUUGUGGCAUUUGUAUGACUUAAAAUUUUGUAUACACACUCCCUUCAUCUCAAUAAUCAAUCUCAAAAGAAAAAAAAUAAAAAUAAAUAUUUACACCCUAUAUAUGGUCAAAAUGAAUCUCAUCCAACAAUGAAUCUAGACCGUCCAUUUGGUGAAUUUCAACGUCUUGGCUUUUAUGAAUUCAAACUUAAUUUUUGUUUCCUUUUAAUGUUGUUAAACUAGUGAUAAUACAUUUAUCUAAAAAAUUUGGAAAAAAAGAAAAUCAUUCUAAGGCCUAAAUCUAAGUAUAUCACCAAAACGGACAACUUAUGUUAAUUGGGCUAAAAAACACUUUCUAAAUUGCGUUUUCAAUUGUUUUAUUAUUUAUUUUAUUUAUUUUUGUGAUUGCUCAUUAGAAUGAAAAAAGUGUAUAUUUUAAAAUUUGGAUCAAACAAAUCCCUAUCAUGGUUUUUGCAGAUUGCUUUAUUAUAUUAUUACACAACUGUUGUAUGAAAUCACUCAACAAAAAAAAUGAGACUAAACAUGGAAAUGCAUAAAAGUACCCUGAAGUAAUAUGGUCUUAUUUUAUAUUCCUAAUAAAUAGAUCCAAAAUAUUUAGUCCUAACUUUGAACAAAUAUGAAGUAUAUAUUAAAGAUAUCAGAUAGUAUAUAAUGAGAUCGCUUACUUUUAGUACAAGAGGUCACAAUUACUUACACUCAUCCAAUGUAAGUUUCUUUUGAACUUUGAGUUUGGUCAAUGAAAUAAAUGCAACCACCAAAUUUCACAUCCAACAGUCAAAAUUAAUUGCGACCACCUUGUACCAAUGAUAAAUAGUCUCAUCAUAUACUUUCCCUGAAAAUAUAGUUUCAUUUUUAAAUUAGAUUUCCAAUUACCUAUUUUUAAUUAGAUGGCUAUCUACUACAAGAAGAGAUAAAAUUAAAUUAGAUGAGGUAUGUACACUGUGUAGGGCCCCUCAAUUCAGACUUUUCAUGAAACCUCUCAUCUCACUUCAGGACUACCAAUUUCUUGGAGCCACAUUUGGCAGGAAUGCAAUUCAGAGGCUGAUUCUCUAACAAAGUCAGGCGCUACUGAGUGAAUUUUUUUAAGACAGCCCAUACUCCUUUGGGGGUCCUUGCCCCCUCUUCUACUCAAUGUGCAAUCCAUUUGUCCUUCUAUCCCCACCCAAGGUGGUGGUUUUAUAGCGCUCCCAGCUUGUUGGGCGGCCAUUUUUUACUGUAUAUAGCUUCCAGAUUCUAGGAACCUCAUUUUUUGUACACUUAUCUCAUUUUAAUAGUUCACUUUUUCAAAAAAAUCUUCAAUGUGAUACAUUCAUGUAGGGAAACCAACAGCAAAACAAGUUGAGGCCAGCUCUUCUCUAUUGACAGAUUUUUCAUUUUUGUACAGUCUGUUUCACAUAGAUUCAAUUUUGUGAAUGGAAUAGUUUACGUACUUGUACAUUUUGGGAAAAAAAAAAAAAGUUCACAAACUUUUACAUCCUUUUUUGGACAAUUAAUGGAAGUUAGGGUUAUUCAAAAAAAAAAAAAUCUAUUUAAGUUUGACUAAAUUUUUGAAGUAAUUUUUCAUAUAAUUAACAACCCUCCACCCCUCUCCCCCACGUAUACUUGACUAGAGACAUGAACAAUAAAUUUAUAGCUUACAUCGAGUUGGAAUAAAUAGAACCAAAAAUGGAAAACGGUGAUAAAUUUGUUGCACAAUGAGCUCCAAAUGCCAAUUUUCCAAUCCAUAUUGGUUUUGUUGCAACUGAAGGUUAUGAGACACAAGCCAGACAGUUAUGUAGAAAUAAUGACUACAAGGUUUAGAAAUUUAAAAUAAGAUGAUUAAUCAGGCCAGAAAAUCAGUAUUUUUAUUUUUGUCUUCAGUACCUUCACAAUCAAGAUGAACAGAAGAACAUCUCGAGAUCUGGUGACUUCUGAAACCAGUUUGUGAAACAUGGGCUGUUCUUAAAAAUUCUGACAGCUGCUCUGUAAUCUUUGGCCAUAAUCUGUAGGGAGUAAAUUGACUCAGACAUGCAUGAAAGAUCAAGAUCUCUCUCUCUCUCUCUCUCUCAUGUCCGUACCCACAUAUGUCUGCAUACUUGGUGCAUGAUUGUGACUUGUGAGUGCGCCCACGUUCAAGUACAAAUUUUGUACAUGCAGCUGUGUGCAUGCAUGCACCCACACAUACAUGUCUUUGCUUACACUCACACAUCAGAACAAGAGAACUAUUUGCUGUAAUAUUUCUCUGAUACAUGUGAAAUGGAAGAACGCCAUACUAUUUACAUACUUGAAUAAAUAAGAAAGUAAGCCAAUAAAACUAGCAAUUAACAAAAUAAAACCACAUAUUACCUUGAGCUCAAGAUAAGAAAACAUUUCCACUUUGAAUCCGGUGGAAGAAACAUGUACAAGUGACGCAAAAGCCUCCAAAAGCCGCUUCCAAGAGUAAAAACCACCAAAGAAAUGAGAACAAAGAGCUCAAAUGCUGAACCACCUUAUUGUUCAAUAAACUACCAAUUAUUCUGUUUUUCUUAAAAGUAAAAAGCAUCAUAUUAUUUUUUAUAUUUGGAAUGAAUGACUUACGAUUUGAUAUAUAUAUCUAUAUAUAUAUAUAUAUAUAUAUAUAUUGACUGUUGUAUAUUAAUAGAUAUACAGAGACAGACAGGAAAUAGGUGCCCUAUACAAAAAUCCCUAGGGGUCUAAAAAAUGCUGUAUACCAAAAUCGAGAAAAUUAUGUGGGAUGCAAGCUUAAAAAAUGCCUGCAUCAAAAGGAGAAACAGAAAAAGUAUAAAUUUGACAAACAGCAACAGAUGUGAACUGUCUUCCUACUUGCAUAGAGAAGACUCUGUAGAUGGGGAUAGUGCCCCUUUCGUAGAGGUCCCUCGCUUCCUUCCUGUAGUUCCAAGAAUGACCUCAUGUAAGCCCAAUCUGUUCCAGCAGAUAGAAUAUCUACCACAAGAAAGUUCAAGAAAUCAGAAGUCACGAAUAAUUAAGAUUAACAAAUGAAAUUAUUUGUAAUAAUUGAAAAAAUUUGGAACAUUGAACCCAAUAAAGAAAAAAGAUCCAAUCACUAAGAAAUCACGAAUCAUUAAGAUCAAUAAAUUAAAUUACUUGUCUUUUUGAAUUACUCAUAAAGUACGAGCAAACACAACUCUCAUCCUAUACUUGCUAUUUAUUUAGAACAUUUAUUGGGUAAGUACUAGGUAAUGUAGAUAUUUCGAAUUUCAUCACAUCAUACAACAAAAAUGUUAAAUUUCAAAAAACAUAUCAACAGCAUAUAAUGAAAAGUGUUGAGCAUAAUAUUACUAAGGGACUAUGAAAAACCAUAGUCGAUUAGGGUAAUGGCCAUCUGUUUAUAAACUCUGACGGGGAAAGAGAGUGGGACCCACAUAAUUUUCUGGAGGGUCCAACUUUCUCUCUAUUCUCUCCCUUUGUAUCUAUGAUUUCACUGGACAGUCACUAUCCAAUGGACUAUGGUUUUUCCAUACUCCAUUGGUGAUUGGGCUAUAUUGUGAUUUCCCAUGUGGAUAUGUUCAGGUUUAUCUCACAUCACACAGCAAAGUAUCAAAUGUUUUUCAAAUAUAUCAUAAUAUAUAGGAAAGUUUACCAUACCCGCACGUUAAAAUAGGUAUGCCCAGUGGAACAUUGAACUUGAAGAAAUUCCUUUGGUGGAACCGGAGCUUGAAAAAUCUUUUGCUGCCAAAAGGUAAAUAUUAGCUCAAUUUUAAUUCUCCUCUUUCAUAACUUAGAUAUAGCACACAGACAUUGUUCAGUUUGAAAGGACUCUGCAAUUCCUUUGAUAUUGGAAGAACACGGAGAUAAAGAGAUUCCGCCAAUUGAUUCUCUAGAUUCAAGCAUUCAGCAUUCUCGCAAGCUGGUUGCCCAAUUGUGAUUGAAGACAUAUAUAUCGGUUGCUGGAUAAAAUGAGAGAGUAAAGAUCCUAGCAACCAGUUAGAGGAAGAGAGGAUCAUUAGAAAUAAAACAAUGCCUAUAAUUAUGCAUAUUAAUAUAACAUGCACGCAAACAUAUAUAUGCACACCAGUGUUACAUAGACACGACACGGGUGUCGGUGUCUGGUAAGUGUCAGUGCCAGUGUCAGAGUGUCUAGUACAUCAGGCCAAAUAGCCAGUACUUCCCGACACAUCCGUACAUUCCUAAUUUAUAAACUCUUUUCUUUAUAUAAAUAUAUAUAUAUAAUAGAAAAAUAAAAAAGUUAGCAAAGUUAAAUGGUAUUUUGUUAAACAAAAUAAAAUGUGUAAUACUAGAAUAUCUAAAGAAAAUUUGAAUAAAAUUAUUCUUUUAAAAAAUUUAUCUAUUAACAUGUCAUACAAUGAGUGGUAGGCAGUGCUGCAUAAAAAAACCAUUACAAACUUUGUUGUUAAGGAGAAAGAUUUAUUAAAUAUCAUAUAUGUUAAUUCUUAUAUAUGUACCAUUUAGGAGGCUACUACGCAUGUGGUAAGAGUGAUUAACUUGAAUCAAGCUAUCUGGGGUUCGAGCCACCAGGAAGGUCUUAUGUGGUCUUCACUUCAUUCCUAUUAUCCAUCUGGUGGCAUGACAUCAUUCAGUCAUGCAUGGAUCACAGGUCAUUAUUCAAAGCCAUGUGGGUAACAACUAUGGCUAGUCACGUGGAGGUACCUCACUCAUGUCACAUGAGAGGUAUGGCCUUUUUCCCUUGUGACAAAAUGGGAUAUGCAGUGUCCACUCAGUUGACACUUCUAUCAGAUGUGUCGACACAUACUGUAUGACCAGGAUAUCGUCAGACACGCAUUACCCAUGUGUCCACAGAGCCUCAAGAGAAGAGUCGACGUAACACCGAUGCAUGCAUGCAUGUGCCCAUAACCCAAAUAUAUGAUCCCACAUAAGAUACUUAAUAAGAAAUAACAAUGAAUGAGGGACCUGAUAUGAGGACACUUUGAGGCAUACCUCAAAAUGUGGUUCAUCUAAAUGCGCUUUUUGCUUAAGUUUCUAUCACCAGAUGAAGGGUCAUAGGCGAAGCAAAACCUGUAGGUAUAUCAAAAGGAUAAAUAGAGAAACAUAAUCAAUUAGUGUCAUAUUCGUAAAAUGAAAUGGAUGGUGAUCGGUGAAAAGUGGGACACAGAGAAGCCUGUUCUGGUGCGUCCCACACUCUCCAUCACUGUUAAUCAUUUCAGUGACCAUUGAUGACAAUUGAAUGUAGUUUUCAAUAAUCUAUUUGCUUAUAGUAUACUUUCUUCCUAUAAAAUAGAUAUUAAUACAAGCUGUAAUUUAAUCCAAGUAUAAGUCCAUGAUAGAUGAACAAAAAUAGAAAAGAACAGACCUUGAAGGCCAACAACAUUCGAGUGGGCAAUCUUGUCUGAACAGCUUACAGAAAGAGUUGUUUCACCACGACCAGGUUUUCUUCUAACCAUUCCCAGGCCAUGCAAAUGAACCAACGAAUGGAAAGGAGUGGCAAACACUCCAUCUACGUCAAUUGUCAAAUUAUCUGUUCUAUGUAAGCCACUAUUUUCCAACCGCCUCAACAAAUAAUCAGGAGUCAUAGCAGAAGAAAUUGCACCAUUACGCUCUACAGGCAAAAGUCUGACAACUAUCUCUCCAUCUAUUUUGUCUGCCAUUUCUUUAUCACUUCUAUUAGCAACUCCCCUAUAUGGUGUUUGGAGUCCAGUUUUAGAAAAGUUUUCCCAAAAUUCAGUAGAGCAUUGUCCUGAAGAUUCACAAUUAUUGUCCUAGUAGCUAUGAUUACUGUCAGGGGAUCUACGAAAACCAUGAUUUGGCUGUACUUGCUGAUUUUCAGUACUGUUACUUCGAUCUUUGAAACAAGAGUGUGAAAUCCCUGCUGGUUGGAGCAAAUCCCAUGUUGGCAACAAAGGGGAACGGGAAGCAUCCCCACCUUCAAAAAACCAAAACAAUAAAAUGAGAAAGAAGAGAUACAAGCAACAUGUGAUCAGAUCAAACAAUGAUCAUGACUAAAAUGAAAACUCGUAGCAGAUUCAUGCAGUUAAAGAACUCAAAUAGUCAAACACAAAUAAUAAAGUCAAUGAAGAAUUGAAGAUAAGUUACAAGGCAAUUGGGAGAUAUAUAGAUGUAACCGGUAGCCAGGCUUCAUUUUAUAUUUUGCUUGACCAGACACAUCACCAACUAGUUCUAACAGCAAGUCUAGGUGCUCAUCCAUCCACAAUUGUUCACAUCCAAGAUGUUCGUUUCUCUUCUAGGCUUCAUUAAGGCACACAAUCUCUGCAUAGAACUACCUGCCGUGAGCACGAAGCAUUUCCUUAGCAUGUAUACUCCAUCACCAAAAUACAGCAGUCAUGGAACAUGCAAUUCAAUUAAAAUCUAUCCAUUAGAGCACAAUUUGUUCAUAGUUUUCUGAAUAAAUCAGUAUUUCAGAAGAUUUUGAGUCGUUGGGGAUGAGUGAUGUAGGCAGCUUUCUGAAGUUGUAAUAAUCUUCUACUUGCAUGUUUGUUUGGGGUGAUUCAAAGUUCAAAAUGAAUAAUUUUGAGUAUUACAACCCUUAACUAUGAGAAUUUUUCCUAAUUUGGACUUUUCGGAGAUCAUAUUUGAAGGCUGCUUAGAUAAUUAGUGAAGAAAAUUGGGCUAAGUAGGCUUAAGUUCAAAUAGUAAAUUUUUUCUUUAUUUUAUGUUUGUUUUUUUUUUUUUUUGCUGAGGAAGACAGUUAGUUUCUGGGUCUCAUUUUUUGGAAUCAGAGUCCUAAGUUUCUUGCUAAUGUUGAUAGGUUUCAUUUCCUUCUACAAAAGUUUCUCUAAUUGGAUCCUUGGCUUCCUAAAUAUUUCCUAGUUUCCUAAUUUUGAAAUCGAAUUUUUUUAGGUAACUUAGAUUACAUGAAGCACCACCCAAUGACUAGAUCAACUGAAGUUGAGAAUAAAAAUUCACUAUUUUUCUUUUAAAUGAAUUAAAAAAGCUGGUGUGAGGCCAUAUUUGGGAGUGAUUCCUUCACCUCGAGGAAAGAUUCCCCAACUGUUUUUGUGGAGAGUGAUUCAAGAGCUCUACCAUAGGAUUGAGAGAGUUUAUCUAGAAGGUUAGAACCUUUUUAUUCCCCUCUUCUGUAACAUAUUCGCCUUUUACAAGUGCCCACAAUCGAAUUCUUAAUCUAUCGUCCCCAAUAAAAUUGAGCCUUCCUAAGCAGUAAUAUCAUAGCACAGCUUCCUAAACCUAUCACCUAAACCCCUUGCCUAUCAACCGUAAACUAGAUAUUACAUCACCUCAUCCCAUUCAAAUAUAUCAAUCACCCUCGUUGGCAUUUUUUAACAAUUUCAACCCCAUCAUCACCAUCUAAUCUUAACCCAAGUUGUUGCCCUAAUCACACCUAAACCUUCCCUAUCACCUCAUCUCCUAGACUUCCCCAUUUAGACAUUGAAUUCCCCAAAUCCUAUUCGAACUAGAAGACCUGAACACCACCUUUACCCUGCGUUUCUAUCUCGGUCGGAAAUCAAAACCUUUACAUCUCUCAAACCCUAAUCUAACUAGAACACCAAUCCAACCUCAAAACCCUUUUUUUCUAAGCCCACCUUAGGCGUUACACUCAUGCAGGAGCCAAGCCCCUUGAUGCUAGGCAUCAAUGAGGACGUUUAUCAAUGACUUCGCCAGCCCACAUUGGUGGUAUAACCACUCUGUGUUAUUAACCAUGAGUAGUGUGGAUUGCAAAUAUCCAACUGCUGAUUCAUGUACCAUAAUAUGCAAUUAUACAAUCCCAAAACAUAAAUUCCAUUCAAUAGCUUCAUGGAGACUCCUUGCAUCCCUGGAUGUCAAUGGAUUCUUGAAGAAUUUGAGAACUACUCCAUGUAAUUAAUGUAUCUUGGAUGCAAUUCAAGAACAAAGGGAGGCCAAUUCAGUGCCUGAUUAUCAGAUAUAUUGGCUGAGAAGAGUGAGUCUAGGAAGCAAGUGCCAUGGACCACAGGCCAAUGCAAGUAUGGACUCCAACUUUUGUAAUGGUCUCUAUUUUAUUUAAGCUGUUAUAGUACAUCCAAAAGAUGGAUUAAAAAACGAACAGAAAUGCUUCUCCAACUUUGAUGAUAUCAUCGUAGAAGUUAGAUAUAAACCAAUCCGAAUAAUAUUUUCUCUGAGGGAAUAAUUCUGAUAGCUUGUUGUGGUUCUAAUGAAACAAAUAAUUUAGCAAUGUCACAAGCCAUGAAAAUUUUGUUAAGGGGAUCAUGAUGUAUUGCUUCACAGAUAUAGCUUCUCUUACACCCUACCUUAAUAUUAAAUAUCACUCCACUGUACGUAACUGUUUUUGUACUUUGAGUCAAAUAAUUAAUAAACAUGAAUAAAUCUAUAUAAUUUUAUUCUCUUUCUGUACCUUAUGUCCAUCUACUAGGCUACUUGACAUAUUAUCAACAUAAAUUCAGUAUUCCUGUAUUGACUAUGGUACAUGAAGAUCACUCAAAAUAAUUUUCAUUACAAGCCUUCUUUUAAAAAUAAAAAAAAAGCAAAAGAAACAAGAAAAGAAAACCACUAACAAAAAUUUUAAUAUAUAAUAUCAGAUUGCAUAAUAUCACAACUUAUUCUCUUUUCCUACUUGUGCUUUCUUGACAUCACAGCCCAACUAAUAUUCCAUUACAUCUCUUCCAUACCCAGGGUCAGGAAUCAAUAUUCACUCAAUUUCUUCACCAAUGAACUACACAUAUCACUUCUCGUAAUACAAUAAACAUUCAUGAAUUUGCCUUUUUUUUUAUUGGUAAAUAUUUGAGAUUUCGCGCUAAAUGAUGUUUGUAGUCACCCCAAGCAAACCAAAAUUGUUAAAACUGCAAACAGGUCAAACCUCAAGAGACAUCUUCGUGCAAUAGCUUCUACAUGUGAAUCAUUCACAACAUCACCAUAUCGACUCAAACGUGAGCUCCCAAGACACUUGGUUCCAGUUCCCAUUGCUACAACUUGUAAUUCUGUUAAAAAAUAACAGAAAAUAUGCACGAAAAUAAAAAUUACAGACCCAAGACAAGGUUUACUUAUUUAUUGGUUUAUUUUACAGAUCAAAGUGAAUGACAAAGGUUGUGUCAAGUUUCAUGAAGUAUACAACCAAAAGGGAAUAACCCAAAAAGAUAAAAAGAAAAAGGAGGAAUAUGAUUAAGUUUUUCAUAACAAGGAAGACAAAUAAAUGAAGAAGAUUGCAUUUCAGAAAAAAUGCAAUGCAAAAUGCAUGCCAAACAAGAAGAGGCUUAUUGUCGCAAUGUAAAAGCAACCGAAAAACGGAAAAAGCGAAUGAGAUACUGUCUAAACUGCAAGAGAAAAUAAGGUCAUGAUUAUUUUCUUUCUUUUUUUUUGAAUAAAUAAGGUAAUGCUUGUUGGGUGUCAUAAAAUUUCUUUAAAAUUCAUAAUACAGCAAGAACUUAAAAACUGCAAACUCUCACUAACUCUGGCACUGGAUUUAGUAAUAUUUUCUCAACAAAGUUGUUAAUUGACGCAAUACUAUCUCAACUAUCAGUUAAAAUUUGGGUUUUUAACGUAAACUUUAGGGCAAAAUUGGGUCAUACCAUGAGAUGGAAAAGACACGAGAAACGCUGCCAAAACAGUAGUUUGACGGCCUUGGGGCUUUUCCCUUUUAGAGAGAGAAUACUUUCUUAGAUACCAGCUCGCCCCACGGCUCUGAAUACCAGUGACUAUCUUCGCCAGCAUCCAUGUUAUGGCUCAUGCCAAUGCAGCAGGAGCGGUCUAAAUAUUUUGCCUGCCGUGUACAGUUUACUCUUGAGGGAUCACAAAAUUGGCUAGGACCGGCAGUCGCAGAACAAAUUAUCGAAGGGAUGCUAUCGUACUUCAAAGCCCAAAUAGAGUUUUCUAUUUUUUAUUGGGAAAUUAUGGCUACUAUAUCUAUAUUUUCAAAAAAUUGGAAAAAAAAUCCACCUUCUCAAAACCUCGUCCACACCACACCUUUUUUUUCUAUUUUUAUAAAUUUUUAGACGAAACUACUUUUUACGAUAGUCUUUGCACAUUAAAAAGCAUUACGGUAUUUUUAAUACGGUAAUGUUUAGAUACCUUUAUACGGUAAUGGGAAUAUCGUAUUAAUAAAUAAAAUUUGUACGGUGAUAUGGUUACCGUAUUGUUUUUACAAUGAAUUAUGGUACUCGUAGUACCGUAAUACUUUCAAAAUUAUAUACGGUAAUAAAGUUACCGUAAUACUUCCAAAAUUAUAUUUUUUUUAUAAAACCCUAUUUUGACGAAUUGUUUAGCACUUUCAUCCUUUUUUAUCUCUCUCAUCCAUUUUUUAUCUCUCAUCUAUUUUCUAUCAUAUCUUCUAUUGUUUAUCAAUCUUUGGAGGAGGCCUCUGAGAGCAUCAAAUUUACACACCAACUGGUUUUUAGGUAUGUCAUCAAAAUAUUAUGUUGUUUUUAGCAUCUAAAAAAAUAUUAUGUUGGAUAAAUAAGUUUUAGAUUUAUUUAUAUUGUUGUACAAAUAAUUUUAGAUUUAUUUAAUGGUUGGCAAUCAAAAUAAUGUUUUCCUAUAACACUUGAUGUAGUUUGGUUGGACAUUAUAAUUUUUGUUUAUAUUUUGACAAUUGUAUUGCAAUCUAAUGUCCCUCAUGCAACCUCCUUACUAUUUGUAAGUAUUUUGAACUUCUUAUAAGUAUUUUAUUUAUAUUUCCAUCUGAAAUUUCUAUGCAGUGAUUCACAACGAAUGUAUUGCUGGCAUAGGCGUACAAGAUGAGCAUGAAUAAAAAAUCGAGCAGCAUAUGGACGACAUCGAUCAGGUAAAAAGCCCCUUGAGGAUUAACUGUUACAAAGUUGUACUUCAAGAUGUUUAGGAUUUUGAUGAUGUACAAGCAUGCCGUAAUCAUCUUAUUGAUUAUGCCAUAUCACAAAACUUCAAUAUGAAGUUUAUAAAAAGCGAUGGGAGACGUGUAUGGGCAAGGUAUGCUGCAGCUGAGUGUUCAUGGAAAAUGAGUUGUUAGAGGGUUAAUACAACAAACUUCUUCUGGGUGAAGAAGUUCAUAAACAUGCACUCAUGUGUCGACGAAAUAAUUAGGGUUCAUCAGCCACUUGCUCAAAGCCACUGGUGGUAAACAAGAUCAAAGACCGGUUGAAUAAUAUGCCCAAUCUUAUAUCUAGAGAUGUGGUUAAUGAUAUACAAUGUGAUCACGGUAUCAUGUUAUCUUACCAACAAGCUUGGCGGGGCAAAGAUGUUGCACAAACAUAUAAAUGAAGGUUUUCAUAUGAAGUCAUACGAGGAUAUCACUAAAUAUCUACAUAAGAUCCAAGUCACUAACCCUAGAAUCUUAACAAUUAUUCAAACAUAUGAUCAUAAUAGGGUUAAGCGUGUGUUUAUAGGCAAUCGUCCAUGUUUGUAUGGUUUUAUGUUUGGUUGUAGACCGCUAAUAGGAUUAGAUGAGAAAUUUUCGAAGGGAAGAUACAAAAUGAUAUUAUUGGCUGUAUUUGGGGUAGAUGCGAAUGAAAAUAUAUUUCCUAUAGCAUAUGCAGUGGUUGAGAGUAAAAAAACACUAAGUUAGACUUGGUUCCUAGAGUUUUUGAAUGAGUAGUUUUAAAUUGACUAUUGUCUCAGAUUAAGCUUAUGGGAGAAUUUUCAUAGAAGAUGGCCAUAUCCCUAGAAUGGAACGGCAUGCUUACAUCGAAGGAUCAAAAGGUAAUAGACCUGAGGAGGGAUAAGUCCAAAUUCCUUCAUACAGUCACAUGGGCACAUGAUAGUAUGUAUGAGAUCAUUGCGGAUAAGAAAUAUGCUCUUAAUCUAGCAACUCAUACAUGCAGUUGUCGGGUGUGGUAGGUUAGUGGGUUGUCGUGCAAUCAUGCAAUCGCCGCUAUAGAUCAUAGACAUGAAGAUGUUAUAAAUUUUUGCGGCGUUUAUUUCACUGUACCGUGGAGCACAUUCCAUUCCCUUCAACCCAAUGCUUGAUGUACUAGAAUUGCUAGAGAUUGUCUAUAAAACUAUAUGCCGCCAGCUGUAAGGUGAACCACGGGUCGGACAAAUAAACAUCACAGGCAAACAGAGUACAUAGAGAUUAGGCCUCUUUAGUGUAGCCGAUAAGGGGUUGUGGGCCAUAACUAGAAGACAUGUAAAUCAAGUAUAUAAAAUAAUGUAAAUAGGCUAUUAGUGUCAGUUGAUCUUUUUUUGAUAUGUCAUUUUGUAAAGAGGCCAAUGCUGAUAUCAAGCUAUCCAAUUUCACAUCAGAUGGUUAUAAUUAAUUAAGCUAUCCAAUUUCAAGCUAAAUGGUCUCUUUAAGCUAUCCAAUUGGAAGGUGCGUCUUACUUUGAUUGUUUAGGACCUUAGCUACAUACAAACCACACGCUUACCCGAUUCAUCUUCAGUUAUGGAAGUCUAACAAAAAGAAAAGGAAAUGGUAAAUGAACCACACAUAGGUCAAAUAUCAAGCAAACGAUUCUACAGAGUAAAUGCACUCUGUACCAUUUCAGGAUGAUGAUGAAAUCUCAAUAUAAAGUUUUCUGUUUUUUAAAAAAAUUCUCAUUAUGGUCUUGUUAGUACUGUAAUGAAUGUGAAGAUCAUCACGGUACUAACAAUACCGUAAUAAGCAUUACGGUAUUGUUAGUACCAUAAUGCUUUUAAACUUCAUUACAGUCAUAAAAAGACCGUAAGUUCACCGGUUUUCCAGUAGAUUUUUUACCAUUACGGUCUCUUUAAGACCGUAAUGUAUGUGAAGAUCAUUACAGUACUAAUAAUACCGUAAUGAGCAUUACGAUAUUGUUAAUACCGUAAUUCUUUAAAACUUCAUUACGGUCAUAAAAAGACUGUAAUGGUGAAAAGUUCACUUGAUUUCCAGUAGACUUUUGACCAUUACGGUCUUUUUAAGAGCAUAAUGUAUGUGAAGAUCAUUACGAUACUAACAAUACCGUAAUGAGCAUUACGGUAUUGUUAGUACCGUAAUGUUUUUAAACCUCAUUACGAUAUUGUUGGUACCGUAAUGCUCUUCACAUGCAUUACGGUCUUAAAAAGACUGUAAUAAGAAAAAAAAAAAAUUAAACUUUAUAUUGAUAUGUCAUCAUCAUCUUAUGGUAUAGAGUGCAUUUACUCUAUAGAAGGGUGUGGUUUGUAUAUUGUGAUAUUUGACCUAUACAUAAGGGUGUGGUUUGUAUCACUUGCUUAAUAUUUGACCUUUACACUGUAGAAUCACUUCCAUAACUGAAGAUGAAUCAGGUAGCUUGAAAAAUCUUUGUGGUAGCUUGAAAAUUUAUUUUCAUCUCUAAUUAUGAAAUUUCAAGCUUAAAUAGUGUAUAUCAAGAAGAUCUAUGGACUAUGUAAUGCAUCUUAAAGUGUUUUAUGAGUUGCUUCAACUACAAACUAUAAGAUGGCAAACCUUGCUGACUUUAGAAUGUCAUACAUGUGAUGUACCUAAUAUAUUGAUAUACAAAGCAAUUCACAUACAAACCAAUUGACAUACAAAGCAAUUCACAUACAAAUAAAACUUCUCAACUAUAGAUCUAGCCAUGUACAUAAAACUAUAUAGGCACUAAUGGCCUCUUUACAUAGUUUAAACACCACUACUGGCUUAUUUACAAUUAUGCAUUCAACCAUGCAUCCAGCCAAGUACACAUCAUGAAUGCUUUUGUCAUACUGGUAGCUUCUCAGCCCACUGUGGUAACUGCAACUCUGUAUCAGAGCUGCUCUGCUCCCGUUUUGCAACACGAUGACACAACUCCCAUCUGGGCUCCUCUAGUUGAAUCGGUGUGGGGAUGGGUUUUGUAUUACUUGGCCCCUUAUCUGGUCGAGAAGGAUGUCAUACUGGCACGUUAUCAUCCAGCUCAUCAUCAAAAUUCCCCUGCAACUUUUGGGUCAUACAUUUUAAGCACGUCUAAUGCUUCCCCAAUUAGGUUUAAAUUUCUUGAAUUGCAAUAAAAGUUGAGUUGCAUGACUGAUGUCCUUAGGCUGCAUCAAGUCAUAUAAAAUAUGAAAUUAGAUUAUUGAGAGUUCUAAAUUGCAUCAAGUCAUAUGAAAUAUGAAAAUAAAUUAUUACCAUUCUAUCUUCAGCAUUAUAACCUCGAGAUGUGUAUUUGGAUGGAUGUUUUCUAAAUGGAUUAUGGAUUAGGGGUCUAGUCAUUAGCUUGUACCACUCAAUGUAUUAUCGUGUCGGCUUCCCAUUGAACAUAUAUUCAUCUGCCUAACAAUAUAAUCUAAGCGAUGCGUCCACAUAUCUAUUUUAUCUCUUAGCUCAUCUCCCUAGUUGUCAAAGAUCUUCCCCAUUCUCUCCCUCCUCUCCUAUUGCAAGGGAUCUGCAGGUUUCAUUUGGUGAAGUCCAAACUGCCGUAGCACAAGAUCUGGCAUAUACUCCUCAUAGAUGUGUCUACAUAUGAGGUAUGUGCCACACAAAACAGUCUGAUAGACACGAAACCCAUAAUCUUUGUCCUCUGCAGUUUUCUCUCCUGUUUUAAGAUAAUCAUCGUAUGAGGUCCAUAUGACCUACGUAAAAAAUAAGAUAAUUUUUAAUAUAAAUAACAUGCAUCUAAAAUUAAUUAAAUUAUAAAUAAACAAAACAAAAUAUAACUAUAUUAUACUAACAUCAUUUAUUCGCCCGUUAUCAAGCUCCUGUCGCCCCACGAGACCAAAGUUGUGAGUGUUAUCUCAUUCUUUAGGAGGGGCCCACCUGAGGGAUCUAGUUUGCCCUGUACUUAUUUUUUUUGGAAUUAGGUACAACAAUUGAAAAUGCUCAUACGCCCAACACUAGAUUACAUAUAUAAAAAAAUAAGAAUCACAACAAAUAUCUAUCGAACUUUAAAAAAAAUAUCAAAACACUAAGAUACUACCACUAUUAGCAAGAGAGUUGCCGAUCCACUUAGGUGUUGAUGAUCAGCAUGAACAACCUUAGACAAGGCUCGAAACAAAAACGCUAACACAGUUGCACCCCAUGCAUACUGACCAACUACAUCGAUAUCCUCAAAAAGUUGUUAAUGGAUGGUAGGAACCGGUACCAUAAGUGAAAUCCGUAAAUAUUGUGCACCCAACUAGAUAUAAGAGGUAGGCACGAGUGUAUCGUAGAAGAGUAGCGUGGUUAUGGUUUUAUGGUAGCCGCUUAAACGUGUUCCUCAACCAUGUCAAUUGGAUACUGGAAUGACUACGACUAGGUGGCAGCUGUCAUAUCAUACAGACUAUAUGAUCCUCGUAGUUCUCCACUCUUCACGAUUACAACUACACCAGUCACCUUUAACCGAAGAAUUUUUCAUGUAUCUUCAAGUGUAGGCAUCAUCUCUCUGAUGUCUACAUUGAAGUGCCCCGUGUUCGUCUCUACGCGCCACUUCUCGAUAAUUGUAGAUGAUGUGCCACGGUCAUGCUGACUCAUCAACACUAUGGUCAGGUGAUACAAUCCUGAUCUUCUGACCAAAUCAAUUUGAUCGUUGUUCGUUAACGGUCAUGAAGAAUUUGCAUUGGGCUUCUCAUCAAUUAUGAGGGUAUUUUCCCAAUCCUGAAAUAGAAUUUGUCAUUUCAGAUACUAAACUAUAUAUAUUGAUUAACUCCAUGAUAGACAAAUAAUAUAAUUUUAAAUACUUGUACAUACAUCUCUUCCCAAAGCUUAUGUGAUAUAUGUUCUCUUUGUCUAGUGAACAAUAUAAGAAUCUCAGGACCUCCAGGGAAGGGUGCAUCUUCUGACAUGAUCACUGUUCAAAAUACCACCAUACAUAAAAAAGGCAUCAUAAAUAAAAAUUCCAUGAAUUUGGUACCUAUAUUUAAAACCACUAUAUCUACAACUUAGACUCUAUUCCAAACUAGAACUCAUGCUAUCAAAGAAAUGCCAUAAAAGUGUUAUUUUUAUUUUGUCUUAUUGUGAUUGAUAUAUGCUAGUUUAGGUUGCACAAAAUGCAGGGAAGGAUUACCAAAUAAGGUAAUGACCUUAUGUCAAAACAUGUCGAACAUUUCGACAAGGAUUUCAGGCUAUUUCGAAAAUGAUUCAUAUGUUUUUUGUAGUUUUAUUUUGUCUUAUUGUGAUUGACAUAUGCUAGUUUAGGUUGCACAAAAUGCAGGGAAGGAUUACCAAAUAAGGUAAUGAACUUAUUUUUCAUCCAAAAUACAGGAUACCAUUACACAAGCUUGAACAAUAUUUAGUUUCAAAUCAAAUAUUAAACUUUUAUUGAUCAUAAAGCCAUAAAAAAAAACCCAAAUUUUGAUCUCUAAAAUAAAUAUACACCCUAAUCUAACAACUAUUUCUUACCUCAAAUAUGUGAUGAGGGAUAGAGAGAUUGAGCUCUAGAAGACCGUAACCAGCAGCCUUCUAAUGGCAGAAUGAAGAUUGUACUUGUUUGAACAAAUACGGCAGAGCAACAGAAUGAGGGUUUUGCUGUUAGGGUUUAUACGCCAAACUACUACAGCAAUGCGAUUGCCGUAAUGAAUGUUGAAACAUUAUGAUAUUAAGAAUACCGUAAUGCUUUGUUUUCUCAUUAUAGUACUAUACUUAUCGUAAUAUUUUUUUAAACUAUUACGGUAUUAAAAAUACGGUAGUAAUAUCUUAAUUUGUUAUGGUAAUUACAUUACCAUAAUGAUUAAUAAUUUACGGUACAAAGACUACUGUAAAGGGUAGUUUCAUCCAAAAAUUCACGAAAAUAGGGAAAAAGGUUGUGGGCGAGGUUUUGGGAAGAUUUUUUUUCCAAUUUCUUUAAAAUAUAGGUAUAUUAGCAAUAAUUAUCUUUUUUUUUAUUUUAUAAAAAUUAUAUUUAUGUGAAUUUGAAUUAUAGUUGUAUUUUUAUUUGGGCCAACCAAAUAAAAUAAUAAAAUAUUUGAACCAAAAUAUUGACGAGAAUACCCUUAAAACCAAUUUACAAGUAAUGUGGUCAACUUUUUUGUUGAAAUCGAUUUUAUUUUUUAUUUGGUAAUAUGUAAAUUAUCAUCAUCGUAGUUUUUUUUUAAUGCACGAAUCCUGGUCUACCAUUCUGCCUUAUUUCAGGCCAUACCCUCAGCGAGGUCAUAAGUCCCCAUAGUGUUUGGAGUACUACCAACCAUUUCGUUUUGAGCCUACCCCUUGUCAUUUUCAAUCCUUCCACUUAAACUAACUUGCACCUCUUGACAAAUGUUGUAUUGGGUCAAUGCCACACAUGGUCAAACCACCUAAGUCUACUCUCUCAUCUUAUCAUCUAUUGAUGCUGCAGCUAAACUUUGUCGAAUGAAUUCAUUUCGGAUUCUAUUUUUUUUUAUCUUGUCACUCAUCCAUCUCAACAUCUUCAUCUCCGCUACACUAUUUUAUGGGCUUUUUUUUUUCCGCUCAACAUUCUGUGGCAUAGAGUAAAGUUGGUAUCACAGUUGUCCUAUAGAACUUACCUUUCAACGUCAUUGAUAUGUGGUAAUCACAUUUGAUAAUAUUUAAAUGAAUAUAAUAAAUAAAAUAUAAAAUUCUUUUGUGAUUGUUUGAUGUGACCAUUUUUAAUCUGAACCGUUAAAAUGAUGCUUCUGCACCCUUCCAUGACCCACAAGAUAUGGACAGGAGAGCUUCUCAUUAAGGAGAUGCUUCUGCACCCUUCCAUGACCCACAAGAUAUGGACAGGAGAGCUUCUCAUUAAGGAGAGUGCUUGGUGAGUCGCUACCCAAUGGAACGCUUAAAAAGAAAAAAAAAGAUAAAGGUUUAGAUGAAUCAGCCGACACAUCAAUUUAACACGUCCUCUCUCCAAAAUCUAUUUUAAAGAUGGAUUUGAGAUUCAGAAUUGGAAAAAGUUUAUAUAAGGCUGUAACUUUGUACUAUAGAAGUAAUGUGUACCUCAAAAAUCCAAUACGGAGUGUUCCAAAGUUGGAAAACUUUCCUAUUAAUCAUCUUGAUCUCAAGAUUAUGGUGAAAAAAAAAAAUUCCAAGUUGUAAGAAUAGUUCAUCUUGUAACAAGUUAUUUAGACUAUAUAUUUUUUAGAUUUUGAAUAUUUUACAGAUUUGCUCAAUUUGUAACUUUUUAAAAAUUUUGAAUUUCGUAAUUAAUGUUGAACAUAAAUUUUCAAAACACUACAUUUUUUGUUUUUUUUUUUAGACAAAUUCAAACCACUAUAAGGUUUCUGAUGCCAGAACUACAUAUUGUAGCAAAAUUUAGAAGUGCAAACUACUUAUAUCGUAUGCGGUGGGUACAAUAUACAAAUAUCACCUAGCACAAGUUUAGAGAAUGAAAAUCUCAAUCAUGAUAAGUAGGAACUUGAAAUAAAUACAUAAAUUUUAAAAAUAAAAAUAAAGUUUUUUUGACAGUUUCUGACAGGGUUGAUUUUCAAUUUUUGUGGGGCUACCAUUUGUUAACGUCCAUCUUCAAUGGAUGGACGCUAUUCUAACAGUGUAUCCUUUAUGCAUAAAAUAGUUUUCCAAAAAAAAGAAAAGAUGAUUCAACCAAAAUUCAAAAUGAAUGGUCUAAAAAAAAUUAAAAUUUAGAAGAAUCCUAUUUAUUUUUAAAAAUUUAAAAAUAGUCUCAUAUAUUUUAAAAUUGAGUGUGGUUUCUAUAAGGAUGCAACCUUAAAUAAUCCAAUUAAGGUGUACCUCCAAAUUUUAUCAUAACAUGUAUUUUUUGUGAAAAUAAUUCUUAGAAUUAUCUCAAAAUCUAUUUUCAUAUCUAAUUAUAAAAUUUUAAAUUAAAAAAAUAGUUAAAAUCAAGCAGAUCUAUAAGCAUAUGAAGAUCUUGAAAAUGGAUGGUCUAGAUCAUGUAUUGCAAAAUGCACUAUUUUUGGGACUCAAAAUCUUUUUUUUCUUUCAUAUUCAUACAUCUCAAUGGCGAGAUGCUUCAUUAGAGGUUUUUUUAACAUUAAAAUAACCUUUUCCGAUGGAAUUUUGAGGUGCAUCUGUAGUUCUACAUUUUAACGGUGCAACCUUAUAUAAACUUUUCUUUUAAAAUUUACACUAAAGUCCCAUUUUUUAUAUUAUAAAGAGUAUUUUAAUUUCAUUUUUUAUUCUAUAUAUUUGAUUAAGUUCAAAUUUGGUAUAUCCAUAUUUAUCACUAUCAUACACUUAUAAAAAUAUUUAAAACAUAAUUUGAAAUGGAACUUGUAGCUUUAGUUAUUGUUCGUUUAUAUUUGUAAAAUACUGUUUUAUUCAAUGUUGUUGGAGAAAAGAUAAUCAGGGUUUGUAGAAGAAGUUGGCUGGUGUUUACUCUCACAAAUUGGAUUCUAUUGAAGAACAUAUUUUUCAACUUGAGGUUGAGACAGGGGACAAAAGCUUCCGAUCUUGAACACUUUCAAAAAUUGAAAGUGAUGGAUGAGAAAUAAAGGAUAAAGAUAAGAUAGUGAUAUUGUUGUGUGCAUCACCAGGGUGCUAAGAUGAUUUGAUGACAACUAUAAGUGGCACCAAGAAGGACUCACUUGAUUUGAGUAUGGGUUCUAGUGCAUUUCUUGUCCAUGAACUCCAAAAGAAGCAUCUCUGGUUGAACAUAAGUUGGAAGUGCUCAUGAGAAGGGAUCAAUCAAAUGACUGGGGUAAUUCAUCUUGAGAACCUUCAAGAAGCAAGUCCAUGACCCAAUCACAGUCCAUUGUUCUGAUAAACUACUUUGUUUGUUGGGCAUGUUGAAAGUAAGACCUAUGUUUCUUUUUGCCGGUGGAUAUAAAUUUUUUUUUUUAAUCAUCUCUUUUGCUUUAGCAAAAAAGAUCACUUACAGAUGGCCUUAUUAGAAUCAAUAAAUAUUUCAAAAUAAAGGCAUCUUAACAAUAAAAUAAAACUCAACCACUUGAUGUCAUUUAUACAACUAAACACUAUGCUUGAGAAUAAAAAAUAAAUUUGUAUGAAAUAAAAGAAGAUGUCGGAGAUUACCUCAACCGGGCUUAUUACACCCCACACCGAGUCACGGAUAUCAGAUGGUGCGAGAUUAGUGGUCUAGCUUCAAUCUCGAACUGGAAACGCCAAUUUCAGUCAAACUGAGUAAGCACCCUUAAAUCUCUAAAAAAACCCUAACCCCAAAACUAAUUUAGGCUUAACUCUAAUUUUCCAACCCUUAGUAUCUUUAGAUCAAGAGAGAGAGAGAGAGGGAGUAGGUGGCCUAGGGUUGGGGCGUGCCCCCUAUAGGUCAUAGGGGAGAGAGAGAGGGUUAAAGAGAGAAAUCUUGAGGAGAGAGAGUGGGGCAUGCCUCUCUAGGAGAGAGAUGAGAGAGAGUUCUCGGAGAGAGAAGGUGUAAUAAUCCUAAAAUUUAAAAAAAAAAAAAAAAAAAAAAAAAAAGACUUUUAUAAGUGAUGGUCCAUAUAAGUAUGAUGGUCCUUAGGGAUCAUCACCACUUUUGUUAACCUUUUACCUUCCCUUUUAACACCUCCCUUGGUUGGAUGGGACUUAAAGCAUUUAUGUUUAAUAUAAACGUUACACCUCGUGUAUGAGGUGUAACUUAAUAAAAUAUUAUUAUAAGGUGUUGUAAGAGUUUAAAUACGAGAGGCGAGGACUCGCACCUUAGAAAAUUUUGAGGACUCUUUCUCUCUAGCUGAAUUUUUAUUGGAAGCUCCCUCUCAAAAUAUUUUAGGUAAGUGACUUCAUUAUCUUGAAAAAUAAUCCGUUCUUUUUAAAAAUGAAAUGAAAUAAUUAUUUAUGCUUAUUAUCAUGAUCUUUAGGCGCGAUAAAUUUUAUGCGCAAGCUAACUCAUUAUUUUGAAAAAUAAUAUUUUUAAGAAAAUUGUGAUAUUUUAUCUAUGUCAGAAAUUCUAAAUGCUGUAAAUUCUUAAAAAUAAAUUUAUUUAUUUUUCUUGUCUAUUGUUAGAAAAUUUUAGAUACUGUAAAAUUAUUAGAAAUAAAUGUGAUACUUAUGCUGUUAGUAAAAUUGUGACAUUUCUUUCUACUGUUUUUGAAUAUUUAGACAUUGUAAAUUUCAUGUGCAAAUGACUACCUUAUUAUCUGAAAACUGAUAUUUUUGUAAUUGAUUAUAGCAUUGUUUGUGAAAUAUUUAUUUCUGAAUUGACAUCUCAUAAAUUGUGAUAAUUUCGUAUUCUUGAAAUUCUAUAAGAGUUUUUUUAUACAUAUUAAAUUGUCAAUUAUGCUAGAUUGUCUUUACGAACUGCUACCUUUCUAAAUUUGAGCCCAAGAUAUUUGAUUGGUUAUUUUUGAAAGUGACUGUUAUUAAUGGUUUAAGUUAAAUUCAUAUUAAUGAUUUCAGUGAUAUGCUGAGUACAUGAUAUUGCUGCUUUCGAAUGUUCAAAGAGAUUUAGAAAUAUUUUAAGUAUGCAAGUGGACUCAUCCGGUUCGUCGGUGAGGUAUAAGUGGACCUAUCCGGGACGCCGGUAUGGAUUAAGUGGACUCAUCCGGUACACCGGUGAGGUAUAAGUGGACCUGCAGGGAUUAAGUGGACUUAUCUGGGAUGCCGAUAGGGAUUAAGUGGACCCAUCAGGACGCUGAUGGGGUAUAUAGGUGACCUACUUGGGACGCCAGUAGGGUAAUUUUGUUAAAUCUUUUGAAUUAUGCACUGCCGAUAAAAUGUUAUAUGCAUUUCAAUCAUUUGGAUUAUGUUUAAUUGUGAAUUUCUGAAAGUGAAAUUGUUAUCUAUAAAUGCUAGUGCUCGCAUUGUUUUUAAUUGACCUCCAUUUUGAAAGUUCGUUUAUAUCUUCUAAUCAUGAUUAUUUUGUUAGGAUUAUGAUGAUCACUUACUGAGUAGCCAAACUCAUCAAACUAUGGUAAACAUUUUUUUAGGCUAACUGCGGUUUUAUUUUGAGUACUCGUCAAGUGCAACUUUGGAAGAUAUUGUAGUUGUGCCUAAGCUUUCUUUUGUUACUUUGUAAGAAUUCGCCACUGUAAAUUUGUCUUAUCAAGAGAUGUAUAUAUGUUUUGACUGUCACAUCUCAGGAAUAACAGUAUUGUAAAUUCUUGGGGUAUGACAAUUAUGGUAUCAGAGCAAUAGGUUAAAGAUUCUUAGGAAAUUUUUUAAAAAAUAUACUUAAAAUCACAUUUAUUACGUGUACAGACUGGGACGAAGUCAUGAUCCAGAAUAGCUAAAGCUAUUAUGGAAGGAAUUCACAAAGCUUUGGAAAGUAUGGUUACUCUAAUGCAACAUCAGAUGGAAAACAACAAUUCACCUAAGCAGUCAGUCACGGGAAAUGGUGGGAGUGAUAUCGAACAAUUUAAGAAAUUGAACCCACCUUCUUUUAAGGGUGUUGUAAACCCACUGGAAGCCGAGGGAUGAAUUAUGCAUAUGGAGAAAAUAUUCAAGGUAAUGGAAUGUCUUGAUGAUAAGAAGGUGGCCUUGGCAAUUUUUAUGUUAGAAGAAGAAGCACAACAUUGGUGGCGAAUGGCAAAAUGAGUAUUGGUUAAAGAAAAUAAACCCUUAACUUGGGAAGUAUUUCUAGAGACAUUUAAUGAAAAGUAUUUCCCAGAUUUUAUUCGAGACAAAAAAGAAAUAAAAUUUCUGGAAUUAAUCCAAGGAAACGGGACAGUAGCACAGUACGAGGCUAAGUUUACUGAAUUGUCCAGGUUUGCACCACAUAUGAUUAACAAUUUGAUAAGAAAGGUGAAGAAAUUUGAAAGGGGUCUCAGGCCAGCUAUUAAAAGCAGAAUAUCAAUCUUAAAAUUGAGAACUUAUGCUGAAAUAGUGGAUCGAGCCCAAAUUGUUGAAAAAGAUUUCGAAGAUUACCAAAAGACGAAAAAUCAGAAAAUCCAUGUUAGACCCACACCAUCUAAUCGACAACAAUUUGAAAUGACAAACAAGAAGCCAAGGCCCUUGCCACUUCAAAGCCCAAUAGAACCAUAUAAGAAAUGUGGGAAAAACCAUGAAUCCAGCCCUUGUUAUUGGAAUACCGGAGCCUAUUUUAAAUGUGGAAAAUUGGGGCAUCAUAUUAGACAAUGUCCUAACUUACAGAUGCAACAGCUUCCAAAGCAAGAAGAGAUAGCUCAAAAGCCUCAGAUAAAGGGAAGAGUAUUUGCGAUCACCGAGCAAGAUGCUCAAGCCUCAAAAUCAGUGAUCCAACGUACUCUUAUUAUUUUCCAAAAAGUAGCUCAUGUUUUGAUUGAUCUUAGAUCUACUCAUUCAUUUUUGUCAUCACACUUUGCAUGCCACUUAAAGGUAGAACCAGAACAAUUAGAAUACAUUUUAGAGGUAGCCACACCGAUGGAAAAUUCAAUUAACACCAAUAUAGUGUACAAAUCAUGUGUAAUAAAGAUAGAAGAAAAGGAACUGUUGGUUUAUUUAACUGAAAAUUCAAGAUUUUGAUGUAAUCUUAGGCAUAGAUUGGCUUUCUGCAUACCAUGCAAGUAUUGAUUGUUAUAAGAAAAUGGUUACCUUUAGUAUUCCGAAUCAACCAGUAUUUUACUUUAAUGGUAUCAAAGAAGACUCCCCAUCAUAUUUAAUCUCCUGUAUUCGAGCUAAUCGUCUUCUUCGAAAAGGGUGUCAAGGUUUUCUUGCCUAUAACAAAGAAGAUAGGAAGGAAGAGAUAAAUUUGGAUACCACUCCGGUUGUCCGAAAAUUUCUCGACGUUUUUCUUGAAGAAUUGCCAGGAUUACCGCCUGAAAGGGAAAUUGAAUUAUUGUCAGGGGUGGCCCCAAUUUUUAAGGCACCUUACAGAAUGGCUCCUGCAGAACUUAAGGAACUUAAACAACAAUUAGAAGAAUUAUUAGAUAAAGGUUUUAUCGGGCCCAAUGUGUCACCUUGGGGUGCUCCGGUAUUGUUUGAUAAAAAGAAAGACGGGAUCAUGAGAUUGUGUAUCGAUUAUAGACAGUUGAACCAAGUGACAAUGAAAAAUAAGUAUCCAUUACCUAGAAUUGAUGAUUUAUUUGACCAAUUACAAGGAUCACAAGUAUUUUAAAAAAUUGAUCUUACAUCUGAAUACCAUCAGCUUAAGAUUAAAAGUGAAGAUGUUCCCAAGAUAGCUUUUAGAACAAGGUAUGACCAUUAUAAAUUUUUAGUCAUGCCUUUUGGAUUAACCAAUGCACCGACUACAUUUAUAGAUUUGAUGAAUUGGAUCUUUAAGCCCUUUUUGGAUAAAUUUAUUGUGGUAUUCAUCGAUGAUAUUUUAAUUUAUUCCAAGAAUCAGAAGGAACAUGAGCAACAUGUAAGAAUGGUAUUGCAAAUAUUAAGAGAAAAGAAAUUGUACGCCAAACUUAGUAAAUGUGAAUUUUGGCUUGAACAAGUGACAUUUUUAGGACAUGUCAUAUCAAAGGAAGGUCUAUCAGUUGAUCCUUUAAAGGUUGAAGCCGUUGUGAAUUGGAAACAACCAAGUAAUGUGACUGAAGUUCGAAGCUUUUUGGGAUUAGCAGGAUAUUACAGAAAAUUUGUAAAAGGAUUUUUCGAAUCGCUAACCNNNNNNNNNNNNNNNNNNNNNNNNNNNNNNNNNNNNNNGAACUAAAAGUUUGAUUAACUUUAGCACCUAUUUUAACUAUUCCUAAGGGGAGUGAGGGAUUUGUGAUUUAUAGUGAUUUUCACAUAAAGGCUUGGGCUGUGUAUUAAUGCAAUAUGGGAAAGUAGUGGCACAUGCAUCCAAAUAGUUGAAAGAAUAUGAGAAAAAAUAUCCAAUUCAUGACUUGGAGCUGGCUGCAAUAGUAUUCGCUCUAAAAAUAUGGAGGCAUUAUCUAUAUGGUCAGCAAUUCGAAAUAUACACGGAUCAUAAGAGCUUGAAAUACAUAUUCUCUCAAAAGGAUUUAAAUAUGCGGCAGAUAAGAUGGAUGGAUUUAUUAAAAGAUUAUGAUUGUACAAUCCAUUAUCAUUCAAGAAAAGCUAACGUUGUGGCUGACGCUCCAAGUAGAAAAUCUACGGGAGUCUUAGCUCAUCUAAUGAUCCAAGAAAUGAGAUUGUUAGAGGAAAUAGUGGAUUGGCACUUGACUCCGUCCAUUAAUGGUGUGGUAAGUAUGAUUGCCAACAUUAAGGCAGAACCCCAACUAAUCCAACAGAUCCGAUCGACACAAAAGAAAGACCCUCAGCUUAUAACAAUUAUAGAAGAAGUGAAGCAAGGAAAAAGAGAUUAAUUCUGUAUAUGUAGUGAGGAUUUGCUAAGAUUCAAAGGUCAGGUUUGUGUCUCGAAUGAUGAGAGUGUGAAGAAAACUAUUUUUGGAAGAAGCACAUCACUCUCGUUAUACAAUACAUCUCAGAAGUAUUAAAAUGUAUCAGGACCUGAAGAAAACCUUUUGGUGGAAUAAUAUGAAAAAAGAGGUAGCACUAUUUGUGUCUAAGUACUUAACAUGCCAGCGAGUAAAAGCUGAACAUCAAAGGCCCGCUAGGUUGUUGCAGCCUUUACCCGUGCCAGAAUGGAAGUGGGAGCACAUAUCUAUGGAUUUUUUCUCUAACUUGCUUAGAACAAAUUCGAGACAUGAUAGCAUUUGGGUCAUUGUGGACCUUCUGACCAAAGCUGCUCAUUUUCUGCCGAUUCGCACGAUGUACACUUUGGAUCAACUGGCCCAGUUGUACAUUAAGAAAAUAGUGCGGCUGCAUGGAGUUCUGGUCAGUAUUGUAUCGGACAGGGAUAGUCGGUUUACUUCUAAAUUCUGGGCUAGGCUACAGUCAGCCAUGGGGACGAGACUCACCUUUAACACUGCCUUUCACCCCCAAACUGAUGGACAAUCGGAGAGGAUCAUCAAAACCUUAGAAGAUAUGCUGAGGGCCUGUGUCAUUUACUUUACAGGAAGUUGGGAUGACCAUUUACCCCUGAUUGAGUUUGCUUAUAAUAAUAGCUUCCAAGCCAGUAUUCAGAUGGCACCAUAUGAAGCCCUGUAUAGAAGAAAAUGCAGGACACCUAUUUGUUGGGACGAGGUGGGUGAAAGAAAGCUUUUGGGGUCAGAAAUUGUCCAGAUAACCACAGAUAAGAUAACAUUAUUUCGUGAAAGGCUCAAGACAGCUCAGAGUCGGCAAAAGAGUUAUGCUGAUAACCGAAGGAGAGAUCUUGAAUUUGAGGAAGGUGAUCGAAUUUUCCUAAAGAUCUCACCAAUAAAAGCCAUUAUGAGAUUCGACAAGAAAGGAAAGCUAAGCCCACGUUACAUCGGACCAAUUGAAAUUCUGGAAAGAAUUGAACUUGUCGCUUAUAGACUUGCCUUACUACCUGAAUUGAUAAAUGUCGAUAAUGUCUUUCAUGUAUCUUCACUACGAAAAUAUCAGCCCGACCCAUCCCAUAUAUUGAAAUAUGAACCUUUACUGAUCAGGAAGGACCUAUCCUUCAUUGAGCAGCCAAUUUUGAUACUGGAUAAAAGGGUGCAAGUGUUGCGCAAGAAGGAGAUUCUUUUGGUCCGUGUAUUAUGGCAGUACCAGUCAAGAGAGGAGUCGACUUGGGAACGAGAAGACGAUAUCAGAGAAAAAUAUCCCUAUCUUUUUCAAUAAUCAGGUAAAAAAAUUUAGAGGACUAAAUUCUUUAAGGGGGGGAAGAAUGUAAUAAUACUAAAAUUUCAAAAAAAAAAAAAAAAAACGAGAGAGAAAAUAAACUUUUAUAAGUGAUGGAUGGUCCUGAGGGACCAUCACCACUUUUGUUAACCUUUUACCUUCCCUUUAACACGUCCGUUGGUUGCGUGGGACUUAAAAGAUUUUACGUUUAAUAUAUACGUUACACCUCGUGUAUGAGGUGUAACUUAAUAAAAUAUUAUUAUAAGGUGUCGUAAGAGUUUAAAUACGAGAGGCGAGGAUUCCCACCCUAGAAAAUUUUGAGGUCUCUCUCUCUCUAGCUAAAUUUUUAUCGAAAGCUCCCUCUCAAAAUAUUUUAGGUAAGUGACUUCAUUAUCUUGAAAAAUAAUUCGUUCUUUUUAAAAAUGAAUGAAAUAAUUAUUUCUAUUUAUUAUC
Molecule: long non-coding RNA, 63177 nt
Filed under: Amborella trichopoda
Lineage: Eukaryota; Viridiplantae; Streptophyta; Magnoliopsida; Amborellales; Amborellaceae
Description: long non-coding RNA (ATRI_LNC000474)
Source: RNAcentral